CUGGAGGUGACGGCGCAGGGGCUGGGCUGCAUGGGUAUGUCCGCCUUCUACGGCCCUCCCAAGUCCGACCCCGACAUGAUCGCCCUCAUCCACCACGCCGUCGGCUCCGGCGUCACCUUCCUCGACACCUCCGACGUCUACGGCCCCCACACCAACGAAAUCCUCCUCGGAAAGGUCGGUUCUCUCAGUCUCUCUUUUGCCUCCGCAUGAAUUAUAUAGGGGAUUUAGCUUCAUCGAGCAGUGUGCUCCGAUCCUGCGCCUUGGUUUUCUGAUUUCGGGGUUGAUUUUGAGCAGGCACUGAAGGGAGGGGUGAGGCAGAAGGUGGAAUUGGCGACCAAGUUCGGAAUCAGCUUCGCGGACGGGAAGAGGGAGAUCCGGGGUGAUCCGGCGUACGUGAGGGCGGCUUGCGAGGCCAGCUUGAAGCGGCUCGACAUCGAUUGCAUCGACCUCUACUACCAACAUCGCAUCGACACUCGCGUCCCCAUCGAAGUCACUGUAUGGAUCCCUCAUCAAACCUUUACCUCUCUUAAGACAUUCUCCGAGUGAUCAGUUGCUAAAUUAGAUUGGUGUUGAUGAUGCAUCAUCAUCAAGAUAUCGUUAAAUGAGACUUGAGUUCAGAUGAUAGCAGAGUUCAAGAUGCGGCACGGUGUUGUUCAAGGGAUUGUGGAAUUUAGUAGUUUAUAUGGCUUGAGUUUUUGUUUUAUGGGUCAACAAGCAUGAAAAUUAUUUGAAUUCUUUAUUUGAGAUGAAAGUGCUCCAGGGUUCAUCCUGAUUUAUAUCUGAGAAUCACAUUUGAAGUUGUUCCUGGACUUUCUGCGGAGACAUUUGGUUCUUGACAUGUCAUUGUGAAUUAUGACAAGUACUUGGAAUACUUCUUUAAUUUGCCUUCUUCUGUAAUAGAUUAGAGAGAUCCACCUCCGUUAACGCAAUACCUUGCGACUUUCUUGUUGCAUUGAGAUGCACAAAGAUUGACUAUUUUUUGCUGGGAGCUACCUAGUCAAAUUGUAAUGUUUGAGAAGUCAGGGAACACAAACUAUUCAGGCAUCAGGACACAAGAAAAACUAAUGAUGUUCAAUAAUUUCUGGACUUAACAUGUAAGAUCUUGACGAUUGUUGUUUUUUCAUGUGAAUAUGCACAGAUUGGAGAGCUAAAGAAGCUCGUUGAAGAGGGUAAGAUCAAGUACAUCGGUUUAUCCGAGGCCUCUGCGUCAACAAUCAGAAGAGCACAUGCUGUUCAUCCCAUCACAGCGGUGCAACUGGAGUGGUCGCUGUGGUCAAGAGAUGUGGAGGCAGAGAUCAUUCCCACGUGCAGGUAGGAUAUCACUGUUUAUUUGUUUAUGCAGUAACAACAUCUUUCUUCUGACUCUGCUCUUCCUUUAAAAUGUUGACUAGGGAGCUUGGCAUUGGAAUUGUUGCCUACAGUCCUCUUGGACGAGGAUUCCUUUCUGUUGGCUCCAAGUUGGUGGAGAAUCUCUCCAAGGAUGACUUCAGACAGGUCUGUUUCUGCUGGUCAACAUAAUUAGAUGCUCACAGUGACUGUCAUUCCCAUUGAAGUGCUGGAAACCUGUUCUUAUGCUAUAAAGAAAAAGUAUCUGGAUGUUAUGAAUAAAACUUUAUGACACAAACGCUUCAUAUUCUUAUUCGAUCCAGCACUCGCCAGUCAUCCCACCUCUCGUGAUUCUAGAUAAAUUUAAAAAUCACAAGUAAUGGCUUUAAUGAGCCUGAAAGGGGCAGUUUCCCAGAUUCUUGUGCUUUUGGGAAUGAAUAAAUAUAGGUUUAUUUGUAAGUUGCUCCGUUUCCCAGCUUUCCCACCAUUUGCUAAUCACUAUCCUUUCCCCGCUUUCCACCCACCCUUUUUCUCUCAAUUCUUUAGAAGAUUAGCAAUAUUUGCUCAAAAUAACCGACACCAAUAUUGGGCCUUGGCCUCCGUCCUUUUUUUUUUCUCAUUUUUCUUCACAAGAUAAAUUAUAUCUUGACACAACCAUUUCUUGAGUGAGGACUCCCUAACACCCUUCUUAUGGUAGUUUUGGGAUCAAGUUCCCAUCUGACAUAAAGCCAAUUGUGUAUUACUCCCGGCCAUUAGUGUUUGACUAGCGAUAGUGCUGGGCAAGUGAAGUAGCUAUUUUUCUUUAUAGCUAAAAGAGCUUUGCGUCUGAUAACAUUCUUCUACACGUCAUCUACCUUUUGUGAUUUUUUUUUCUUAUGUGUAUCAUACGUACAAAACUUAGAUUGUCGAGUUUGUUUCUGUUUUCACAUCCUACAUCAAACCCAUCAGCCUUGUGUGGUAGUUGCUAGAUCACUUGGCUUGGCGUUUCUAAUGCUUAUGAUUUGGGGCUAGAUUUUUUAAUCAUUUCAAGAUAAUCUAUAACUGAUCAUGCUUUUCCAGGUACACAACAAUUGUGCACUUCUAAAUGCUUAUUAUGUCAAGUAACAAGGCAAUCUGUUGGCAUGCAAUGCGAUCACUUUUGCACCUGUUGCUGUAGAAUUUGGCCUUAAAAGGAAAAUGAUAGUUGCUCAUAUGCUUUCUGCUGAGACAUUGCUCUAUGUUAUGCAGUACCUACCAAGGUUCCGGCCAGAGAACUUGGCUCACAACACAAAGUUAUUCGACCGAGUGAAUGAAAUUGCACAAAGAAAGGGAUGCACCCCGUCGCAGUUAGCCCUCGCCUGGGUACACCACCAGGGUGAUGAUGUUUGCCCAAUUCCUGGCACGACCAAGAUUGAGAAUUUCAACCAGAACAUCGGAGCUCUAUCAGUGAAGCUUACACCGGAAGAGAUGGCGGAGCUCGAAUCGAUUGCUUCUGCAGACAAUGUCAAGGGUGGCAGGUACGAUGGAAACCUCUCUACAUGGGAAAACUCCGACACUCCACCCCUUUCUUCUUGGAAACCUGCCUAGAAACAUGUCUACUUCUUUUGCUGCGUCUUUGAUAUGCAGAGUUUGUGCAUUUGCCGCUGAAGUAAUUUGAGGCUAUGUUGUGUGGCUUUUAUAAGUAUGUGUAAUAAGAGUGACUGUUUUCGUUUUGUACAACAUGUGACAUUCACUAUGAGAAGAUUAUGGAUAUGUACUAAGCUUACUGGGGAAAGAUCACUCGAUAAACACAAGAGCGAGUUGAAUAUGAACUGAGCCUGCCAUGCCGACUUUAUCGGGGUGACUUUUAGAAUCUGAGAAAUCGGGAUUUUGAAGAAUUCAAACUCAGUCGUACAUACUAAGUGACGCUUUAUUCUCCUCCAACCAUGAGUUCAAUACUAACACCGUGUGCAACAUACUCUUAAGACUGGAUGCUACACAUAGAUACAAUGCUUCGCUUUGUGUUUGGUUUGGUAGCGAAGUAAAGGAACAGUAAAAUGUUACCGGAUGUUCUCGCAAAAACAAAGUUUGGGAUAAAAUGCUGGCGUAGUUGAUAUGAGUGUCGGGGAAAUCAAAGGUUUCUUGUUCAAGUUUCACCACCUACGGUGCAUGAGCUUUUAUGUAGCUCGAUACCUUUGCUCAUGCCUCUGCAUUAUUAUAAAACAGUCGGAGAUAUUGCGCAAGUUUCCUAAAAUUAAAAACGACACUUCUAUUGUUUUUUAUUUGGAAUUAGAGUGGAGCAAUGUUGUUUUGUUUUGGUUUAGGAAAAUAACGCAAAUAGUCAUUAAACUUUGGUCCAAUGUGUUAUGUUCUUACUGAACUUUUAAUUUAUUUAGUAUGGUUGUCGAACUUUUUGUACAUGUUUAAUUUAGAUCCUAGGCUAGAUAAAUCUAAUGACGCUGUGUUUGGUCGUUCGAACAUCUUUGCUAUAUGGGAUAAUGAUAGGAUAAAAAUCCCAUCUAAUAUUUCUUGACGUCCGGAUAUAACAUGAUUCAAAUAAAACAAAUUUAAAUGAGUGUUUGAUUUGUAUAAUUAAAAUUAAAAGUAAACCAUGGAAGUCGUGAAUAGUAUUCAUCCUUUCACAAUCUUCAUCGAUAUUAAACACCCCCGUUCCAUGUGACUUCAAGGACGCUCUCCUUCUGCAACGCCCCUUUCGCUGCCCUUGAUCAACUUGAUGGAUUACGCUCGCUCUACCUUUGACUUCGCCACAUUGAGAGGCCCUUGGGUUUGAGUUCUCCGCUGGUCUAGCCAUCUUUACUUUCAACGCCUUUUCCUGCGAUGAAUCCAUCCCCUUCGAUGAGUGUGAAUACUGCGUUGAUUCCCUGUUACCGUGUCCCGACUUGUUCAGUCACUUCAACAGCUUCCCCGAGACAGCGUGCGGAUCCGGUUUAUGAGUGGUAGCAGCAUCGGUACAACUCGCUCCAAGUGACGUGGUUGAGGAGCUCUAUCACCUUGGCUGCUGCCUCUUUCGGAUCAUCUUCUUCACAGAGGAGGUGUCCAGCUUUGAUCGGGAUCACAAAGUUCCCAACUAAAAUGGAGUUAAGUGACAUAAGAAAGAGGCAGGGCUGACGAGCUCCGGCGCCACUUUUCCGAGGCAGCCAAAGGUGGUAAGCAGCUUGUCACUGGUAGGAGGAACGGUGGCCCUUAGAGUUUGCUCAGGUCGUUGUGGCGAGGGCUUCUCUAGGUAUCUUCGUGAUACUCAUGCUUUAAGUUUGUGGUGGUCAUUUUAGCGAGAAAAAUCGGAACGAGAGAGAGAUGAUGGUGGCACUGGUAAAAAAUGAGGAUAAGCCAUCAACAAGCGCAGGAGUGGGGGAAAAACUUGUAUCCCUUAUUUUUUCAAUUUUCCAAAUUUCACAUAUCCUAUCUAGAUCUAUAUCACUUUUUAGAUGGGAUUUUUUAUCCAGACUAUAUCUAAAUUUCACUAACAUCGGGACCCCUAGAGUGCCAAAAGUUUGCACAAAAAGACAAUUAAGUGUCAAAAGUUAUGAAAAUGACACUUAAGUGCUAAAAUUGGAAUAAAAUAGAUCACUUAAGUGCAAAUCUGGUCAAAAUAUUGACAUGACAAUUUUCCAGCAAAACAAGUGCAAAACGGUGUCGUUUUGGUGCUGACAUGGAAAAAAUUAAUACAAAAAUUAAUUAAAUGAAAUUUAAAAUUAAAUUUAAUUAAAACAUUUAAAAAUAAAAAUACAAAAAUUUUAAAAAAGGAGAGAGGCGGUUGAGGGCUGAGCCCUUGUCGCUAGGAAGGGUCGGAGAUGGAGGGGGGAGGGUUAGCCGGGGUUGCCGGGCCCUAGGCCAGGGGCCGGCGACCUCGGCCAACUGGUGGCAAGGGCCCGCGAGCCCUCGCCUAGUUUUGGGGCGAGGGUUGCGGCCCUCACCUAGUUGAGCCAAGGGCCGCCGAUCCUCGCAGAAUCUGGGUGAGGGCUGCAACCCUUACUAGAUUUGGGCAAGGGCUCGUGAGCCCUCGCUGCCGGUUAGUUGGGGUCGCUGGCCCCUAGCUAGGGCUCAGCGACCAUGGUUGACCCUCCCCCCUCCGUCGUUGACCCUUCACGGUGACGACAGCGAUGGCUCAACCCUUAGCUACCUCCCCUCCCCCCCUCUUUGUCUCUCUGUCUCUGUCUCUCUCUGUCUAUAUAUAUAAAUAUUUAUGAUUUUUUAAUACUUGUAUUUGUAUUUUUAAAUGUUUUAAAUAAAUUUAAUUUUACAUUUAAUUUAAUUUACAUUAUUUUUUUACCAUAUUAACACCAAAACGACGUCAUUUUUGCAUUGUCUAGCUACGACAGUGUGCAAAAUGAUGCCGUUUUGCACUUACUUCGCCAGAAAUUGCGUACAUCAGAGCCAUGAUUUCGUUUGUAAUAAUAUCCGUUCCAUAUGCUUAAUAGGUGAAUCCAAUGCUGAGAAGGUUUCUUCACAUCAUGACAGAUCUAGAAAUACUAGAAGCAUCUGUUUCUCUUACUGCAUCUCCAUCUUUUUCAACCCCUUCAGAUUUUCAUGUUUUAAAUGCUUCUAAGAUAUACUAUCUCUAUGAAAUCUCUCUUAGCGAUGAAACCAAAAUCUCUGAAACUUAACUUUCCCUGAUGAACUCAUAUUUUGCUUUUGCUAAACCCACCUCAUCCUUUUCUCCCAUUCGUUCCAUUCGCCAACUUAUUCGCCAAACUCCAAAGGAAGUAAAUGAGUACGUUAAGUCCUUCAAGUUCGACCAACAUCCCAUUCUCGCCAUUGAAAAUGAGUACUUUGUUACUCUCUAGAUUCCUCCAGAGUUUCCUAGGCAAUAGAUUCAAAAAGGAUAGUCUCAUGUCCAUUAUGGAGUUGUUCGUCUUGCUCUUACUUUUUAUGGCCGCAAGGGCUUGCCAGUUGUGGCAAGAAUAGCAUUACUGGAUACUAGAUUUCUAAAGUACUAGUAUACUUGUAUCAGUACUAUCCAAACCACUUUAAAUGUUGGAAUAGUUUUUGUGACUUUGUAUCCAAAUUUCAAUUUGCUCUUUCAAAUCCACAGUUACUUUCCUUUUUGAAAGUCUAAGUUUAGCUCACUGGAGCACCUCAGACAGCUGAUUCUGUUGUUGCAACACUACACUACUAGAUCGUUUAUUAAGUGCAGAACCAUGCUCUUGACUUGAAUUUCCACAAUGAAAAUGAAGAUGCUUUAUUCAUCUCCAUGCAAAAUGAUCAUGCAUCCUGCAUUCAUGUUCCCAGACAUAUCCCAAAGGAAAAGUUGCCAAGCUUCUUCUAGAGACUUGGAUCACUAACUAUGAAAAGUUACAUCAGAAUAACAAACCUUUCUAGUCUUCAGACUUUGAAUUUGUCAGAAAGAAAGAUGGAACUGUUUCCAUCAAAUUUGGCAAGGAAAAUAAAGAAAUUCUUUUUAUCUUCCAAAUCCUCUUUAUGAUCGAACCAUGUGUUCCGAGCUAGAUAAAAAAAAAAGAAGCUUGUUUAAUACUUCAAAAGUGAUUAACAUCAUGUCCAUUACUACAAAGACUAGUAUGGUCACUGUUUCUAAGAUCCUUUUUGUCAAUGUUCUUUUUGCACAAACUCUCCCGACGAGGUAGACCCAUAUGCAAGACCUCGACGGAAGCAUAAGAAGCCAAAAGAUCCUAUGUACCAAAGGUACUUGAAUGGAGAUCCCUCCGUUGAUACUCUUGGUGAGUGUGAUAAAUUCUAGUUUAUGGUUUCCUAUACACCAACUCCACCACCAGAGUUCAUUACUCCACUAAUAUCACCAAGUUCAUCACCAUCACCUCCUCCAUCUCCUCCAAAAAAAAAAGAAAACCAACUCUUUCCCCAUUUUAUAAGCCAAUCUUAAAGUGGGCGAAUAAAUAUUCCUACCCACUUGAGGCUCUAGCAGAACACCACCAAGUUCUUUCAUAGCCAUGUUCCAUGAGACAUACUUUCCUCUUUUUAUUCGAGAAAGUUAUAAUCUCGUUUCCUGCUCCAAAAGAAUUCAUUGAUCUACAAGGCAGAUAUCGGCAUGCCCCUAAGAUACCUACCCCCACUGAUGUGGAUGGACAUGGAAGAUAGAAAAGGACUCCUGUUGUUGAAGCUGUCCUAAAUUGGCAAUCGGAAACUCUUUUAGCAUAUAACAAUGCGUUCAAAGCAAUUGAUUCCAAGAUUGUAAAUGUGCAACAAGAUUUUCGAAAUAUGAUGAAACCACCAAGAAGAUGCUUUCAGAUUUCCAAAAGAGGCUUCAUGCCUUGGAAUCUAGAUAACAUUUAGGGUGUCAUCAUCUCGAAAGUCCUAAGGUGGAAAUAGAGAAGCUCAAAAGGCAAAUUCAACUCCUUGAAGAAGGAAGAUUCAAUCCAUUUCCGACUACUUUGCGGACAGAGCAUCCCCCUCUUCCACUAGCCCAUAACACAUCUAUCUUUGUUGCUAUCACAGAUGUUCUUGUUAGGCAAGAUAAGACAAAUGUGGCUGAAAUGCGAAAUCUUCUCAAAGAACUGGACUGAAUAAGAAAAGAAAAGGGAAAAGAGAAGAUGCCUAAAGAAUCCUUGCUUGUCAUAAGGAAAAAGCCAGAUCAAUUGAUGCUGUCGAAUCUAUUAGAAUCUUUCCGAAGAGAUUUGGGUAAUCAGGAAUCACAGUCUGAUCUUGUUACUCAACAUCUUGAUCCCGUCAUUCCAACAGAUCAGAUUCUAUUUUCAGCAGAACUAGCUUUUCCAAAUAUCUUUGAUACUGAAUUAAAUUCGGUAUCCCUCUUGUCCUCCUCAUCCUUCUCAAUCCCUACCAUUGAUUCCUUCCCUAUUGUACUAGUAAUUUCAUCAAUAUUCAUGAUCGAUCAUCCGGACCAAGAUAUGGAAUCAAACCAUUCUGAACCAAAGGUUGUUUAGCCAAACAAUCCCUCCCAGCACGUGUAUUUUGCAUCAAAAUAGUUUAUUUAUUUAUUUAUUUAUCGUUGAUGACAUUCCCUAUCACAAAUGGCCAUAAAGACUUGAAGAAUUUCAUACUUGGUUAAAUACCCAAACCCUUACCAACCAGGAUAAGUAUGAUGUCAUUUUUGAUUUUGUCACAAGGUUUACAGGUAGCCUCAAAUAUUGGUGGCAAUCUGUGUUAGAACAAGACCGGCUUCAAUUUUUACUCUCACUUGAUUUUGGUCAUGCCAUUAUCCUUCUAUAUCAUUUCUUUGUGGGAAAACCUUUUGACCUCCAAGAGCUUAAAAGGAGAGAAUUUUUCGAAAGAAGAUGCUGCUUCUUCCAGAAAAAAACAUCUUGAUAAAUAUUAUCGAGAAAUGUUUAAGCUCUUCUAUGGUAUUGGAGCUGAUCCAAACCAGAAACGCAUCUUCUUGACUUCCAUCCCCAAAGAAUUGUCUCAAUAGGUGGAGAGAACUUUUCUCAGCAAACAAAGAAGGAUUCAGGAUAUUCCGUUAGGAGAAAUCUAACAAGAAAUUCAUUUGUGCCUUGAAGAAUUGUGUAUCAAAUGCCAAAUGAUCCAGACUUAUGUCGACAAUAACAGAGAACUUGAUAUAGCAUGUUCUCGCCAUAAGCUAAAGAUCAAAUGUUCAAAGCGAGAUUGUGAUGGUUCUUGCGGAAAAUUUUCCAGAAAAAAGCACUUCAAGAAGCUCUGGAUAAUGAAAUCUAGGCGUGGCUCUAAGCAUUUUUGAAGAAAGAAGAAAUGGCGACACCUAUGCAAAAGGAAAGAUCACUCAGGCCACAAGAAGUCAAAUCAAUGCUUCAUCUGCAAUUAGAAAAGACAUUUUGCCAAAAAUUAUCCCCAAGCGAGAAAAUGUCAAAAUCAUAUGAUAUAUCAUAUAGAGAAUGAAACAGGUAAUUCUCUUGAAAAUGAUAAUAUCGAAUCUUUAUUAUCUGAGAAUGAAGAACCAUCUGAAUAAACUCUUUGUGUCAUUCCUUGUUACGAAACUUCUAGUGAAAUUGAUUCGGAUUCAAAUCCUGAAGAUAUUUUUCACAUAUCUCUCACUUCUUCAGAAUAAAGCACUAACAUAUUUUCAAGCUAAAUUCAUUGUCCCCAUUUCCCUGUGAAAAUCUUCACUUCAAAGUUUGCCAAGCCUUUCAUUGUCAUUGCUCUCAUAGAUACUGGAGCAAGUUCUUCAAUCUUGGACACCAAAGUUAUUCUUGAAGAAUAUUGGACUUCCUAUGUUUGAUACUUCAAUUCUACCUCAGGAGAUACUUUUUCUACGAAUGUAAGAACUACCCUAGUAAUCAUCUAAUUUUUUCCACAGUGUUCCAUAACCAUAAAAAUCUCUGGUUCCAGUCUUCCCCACAAGGAUUUGAUCAUUGGCUGGGAUAUCAUGACUAAAAUUUCUCAACUUCGUAUCAUUUCUAGAAAAUGUCUUAAGUAUAAGGACUAAUUUUCUAAAUUCGUCAAUAUCCAAAGACUUUUUUUCCAUCCAAAUGAGCCUGCUAGACCCCAUCAUGCAAAAGUUGUUAAAAUCAUGUUUGGAAUUUCAUUUUGAAUUUGCUCAAAAAUGUUCUCACCCUCUAUGGGAAAAUUUAGAGUUCUUUGUUUGCCUUCCUUUUUUAAAAAAAAAUGAGGAUAUCAAUCUAAACAAGGCGAGUUACAUGGGAAUGAAGUCAGAACACUUGGUUUUAACUCAAAGGGAAUGUUCGGAACUAUUGCAGCAAUGCCUUAUUGAAAUCUCCAAUUCUCAAUGGGCCUGUGAAGCUUUUUUAUGUCAAUAAGCGUGCCGAACAAAAUAGAGGAAAUAUGAGAAUGGUAAUUAACCAUCAGCCUCUUAACAUUUUUUUCCAAGAUGAUAAAUUCCCUUUACUCUCCAGAAAUUCCCUAUUUACUAGAUUAUCCAAAGCCCAUAUUUACUCUAAAUUCAAUCUCAAAGCCAGAUUUUGGCAAUUGUGCAUCCAUCCUAAAUACAGACCCAAGAUAGGGUUCUGUAUCAUGAACCAACAUUUCCAAAUGGAAAGUUAUUCAUUUUGGUCUAAAGGUGGUACUAUCCUUAUUCCAAAAGGUCAUGUGUCGAAUUUUCCAACUAAUUUUGUCAAGUGCAGUAAUAUACAUUGACGAUAUCGUGCUUUACAAUCUUAAUGAGCAGUCACACUGCCAACUUCUUAAACAGUUUGUAGAAAUUGUGUAAAAGCAUGGGAUCAUGCUUUCUCAAAAAAAGAUGAACAUUGUCCAUAUAUAAAUUGAAUUUCUUGGUAUGACCUUAACAAAGGUAUGUAUUAUCCAUGGCCAUAUAUUGCUCAUGAAUUGUUGAAAUUUCCUGAGGAAAAUUUCACAACAAAGCAAGUUCAGCAAUUUCUUGGAAUAAUUAAUUAUCUCAAAGAUUUCGUUCCAAACAUUGCAGAACUGUUGAUUCCAUUGAAAUUGAUGCUGAAAAAGAAUCCCCCACCUUGGAGAAAAUCUCAGACUAAAGCAGUCGUCGAACUUAAGGAGAUUAUGUAGACUCUUCCUCUGUUACAAAUCCCAUCGAUAAGGAAGAUAAUUCUCUAGAUCGGCGCCAGUGAUGAAUACUGGACAGCCAUCUUGUUUGAAGAAAUUGAUGGUAAGAGACAUCUGUGUACCUAGAAAAGUGGAAAAUUUUCCCAAGCUGAAAUGCAUUAUCAUUCCACUUUCAAAGAAAUCUUGGUGAUGAAAAAUGGAAUAAAAAAGUUCGAAUUCCAUCUCAUUGGCCAUCACUUCAUGGUAAAAUUGGAUAUCCUCAGAUGAUCAAGUUCAAACAGAAGCAGAUUUCGAAUUUUCAACUGCUUCAAUGGGCUGAAUGAUUUUCAAAAUACUCUUUUGAAACCAAACAUAUUGCCGGAAAAAAAAAUGUGCUUGCUGACUUCUUGUCAAGACCAAAAGCACCAGUAAAAAUCAACAUGUACAUCAUGAGGCAUGCUUUUCAUAUUCUUCAUAACAAUGAAAAGUAUAAGAUUGAAAGAAUACAAGACUAGUCAAGCUGGCAAUAUUACUAGGAGAUUGUGGAACAAAUCUAGAAUGACUGCCUUAUUGAAAAUUUGGAUAAUCUCAUGUGGCAAUUCCACACAGAUCUGUUUAGAUUUAAUGGGGGUUCGAUUCUUUAUCUUUUUAGAUUAAAUUCAGACUAUCCGUUCAUACAUCCUUUAAUCUGGAAGGAAGAUAAUUUCCCUGACCAACUUCGAUGGUUAUUAUGGUACUUAACCAAUAAGUACUGAAUAGUAUUGAAAUUCCAACUAGAAGAUUUAUUACCAACCUCACUAGGAUAUUUAGACUUGGCAGAUGAAACAUUGAAAAAGAGAGUGACAGAAAUCUCAUAGGUUUCCUUAAUUGGUUUUAUCCCUCUACUCACUGGAAAUACCUCUUGCAGAAAGAGCUGAGAACCACACAACUAAACCCUGAGGUCCAUAUUAUUUUGUUUUUUCGACGACCGUGGGCUUUUGUCACAAAUAAUGGUAGCAGUAGCAAUGCCCCCCAAAUUAUAGGUACCACAUCCUAUAAACCUCAACCACAUAGUGUAGAAGCUCAGAUUUACAAAUCUUAUUUAGAACCCGUUGGUUGCUACGAGCACCAGUAUCGAGAACUCCAAAGGAUUUUGUACUAGGAAAAUAAAAUCAUUCCUAAAGAUGCAUGGAACUAUAAUGUACCCACUGUAUGAGAUUAUUAUAGUCUCACACUAGAAGUUAAGGAAGCACUCGAAAUAUUCAGACAAGUUACAUCAUCACAGGAGCAUGAAAUGGCAGACACAGAUGACAUCGCACAGUCCUCUCAAGAUCCCUAUGUCAAAUGGGGAGGUCCUCUUUCUCAAGAUCCCUAUGACCAAGAAACUUUGUCCUUAUCUCAAAGCAUUGACACAUCCUACUAUACUCAGUCAUCCAAUUGGUCUCAGCUAAGCAUUCUUGCCAACACUACAGGCUCCUCUUAGAAUCAAGCGAAAGCAUCCUCGUCAAAUCAAAUUCUCUCACCAGAUUCACUUGUAGGACUUGAGAAAAAAAUAUGAAGAAUAGCUUAUGUCAAUGUAUAGUUCGGACGACUCAGACUAUGACUAUAAUGCUCGUGAUGGACGAGACUAUUGACCGUACAAGUCACUGUAGCAAGUCACUUUUCACUUUCAUUGUAGCAGUAGACUAGGGAAAUAACUGUUCAUUAUCAAUGUUCAUAUCGUGCGAAUAAUCUCCUAUGCCUUUAUUUGUUUCAAGAUUGUGAGAAUGAUCCUUGUUUAUGUGUGACCUCUUAUUGCCUAUAAAAGACAAGAAUGAUGUAAUGUGUUGGGCAGAGUCCCUUGAAGUAAAGUGAGUAUUUUGUGUAAAACUCUCUAUGGCUUUAUAAACUUAUCUUCUUCUCCAGUCUGGUAGGAUCAUUUGAGAAAUGUAGUUCGGAUAGUUAGAAAUGUUACCAUCCUGGUUCUAUAUGAGUGUUUCUAGACUCUGAACUAAAGGGAAGAGUGGUUUUAUGUUAAAAGGCUGUCUCUGAAGGGCUUGAACGGAAGAGGUUCACCUACUGUGGGGUAUGCCAACUUUUGGCACUUGAAAUAAUCUUUUGCCGAAUUUCACGUUACUCUAAACACCGGAUAUGAUCAAACUUUUACUAUCAAAGUUUUAUCUAGCCCAUCAAAGGCAGUCUUAUGAGAUAGGAUGCAAUGAUAUAAUCUAUGAAUUAGAUCAAACAUUUAUUAAAAGUUUAAGAACGAUAUUUCAUUUUUUGAAUGUUAGGAUGCACGAGUAAGUUAUGUUAAAACAAUCCCACAAUAUAUUGAUAGCUUUGAAAUAAGGCUUUCUCUUGGUGAUGACGAAGAUCCAUAUGGAGAAAUUAAUGGGAGGGUUUGUUUGGCCUAACUAAAUGAGAGGCUAUAUCAGUGGGAGGUUUUUCAUUGUAACCUUGUGCUUGGUAUUUGUAUUUUAGUAAAGGAUUUUGUUAGCAUAAUAGUUUCUGAGUUAUUGUGAGAAUAACAACUUAUUAUGAGUUACAAAAUUUUCUCUUUCUUUUUUUCUUCACUUCCUUCUCCUUCCUCCAACCAAUCAUCACUAGUGAUUGGCAAGAGGCAAGGUUGGUGAGGUACCUCGCUGGUCUCGAGGAAGCUUGACCAUGGUUAGGCAACCUUGCUCAUGGCUAGGCGACCUCGCCUAGGCCGCCAACUGGGCUGGUGAGGGUUGACCCUCGACGGCCAUGGGUGAGGACAAAUGCCGCUAGUUGGGCUUGCGAGGCUCGCCCUUAUUGAAUUUGGCGAGAGUUGAGUCUCAUUGGCCAUGGGUAAGGUCAAAGGCCGUGACCUCACGUGGUCUUUGGUGAGGCUUGCCAAAGGUUGGGCAAGGCUCACCGUCGUUGGACUGAUGAGGGUCGAGUCUCGUCGGCCAUGGGUGAGAUUGCAACUUGCCCAUGGCCGGCGAGGUGAGCCUAGGCCAAAGGCAGGCGAGACCUUGCCUAACCAUGGCGAGGGUGGCCUCACCAUUGUUGGGUGAGGCUCACCCUUGCUAGUGGUGUGUGGGGGUAAGCCUUGCCAUUGGUUGGCGAGGCUAACCUUGCUGGCUUGAGUAAAAUAAAAUAUUAUUAAAAGAUUAUCUACAUCAAUAUUAGUUGGACGAGCGGUGUUGGUCGGCCAAAAUUUCUGAAUGAAUUGAAUAGUAUAAUUGCAAAAUGUUUGGGAUUGAAUUGGCUAAAAAAAAAGGUCUAAGUUUGAAUUGGAAAAAUUACAAUAAGUUUAUGAUUGUUUUGGUACGUCCUCCCUAUAUGGGAAGGAUCGUGACUAUGCUUCAAUUGAUGUAAGCAAGUGCAUCUUCACAGCCACUACCGCUCCCCUCCUACUCUUUGUAGCUUAUGCUACUCCCCUCUUAUAAAUCUCGGCUCGCCUGACGCCUUCGCCAUUGUGUAGGGAACGAGCGAGCUCGAGCUAGACCACAGUAAUGGCGGCAUCGACAAUGACGAUAAGGAGGAUCAAGUUGGGGUUGCAGGGCCUGCAGGUGUCGGUGCAAGGGCUGGGCUGCAUGGGCAUGUCCGCCUUUUACGGGCCACCCAAGUCGGAGCCCGACAUGAUCGCCCUCAUCCACCAUGUCGUCGGCUCUGGCGUCACCUUCCUUGACACCUCCGACAGCUACGACCCCCACACCAAUGAAAUCCUCCUUGGAAAGAUCGGUUCUCUCAGUCUCUGUUUUGCCUUCGCAUGAACUAUAUGUGCUUAUAAUGUUACGGAAUGUAGCUUCAUCGAGCAGAGUGCUUUGAUCCUGCGCCUUGGUUUUCUGAUUUCGGGGUUGAUUUUGAGCAGGCACUAACGGGAGGGGUGAGGCAAAAGGUGGAAUUGGCGACCAAGUUCGGAAUCAGCUUCGCGGAUGAGAAGAAAGAGGUCCAGGGCGAUCCGGCAUACGUGAGGGCGGCUUGCAAUGCCAGCUUGAAGCGACUUGACAUCGAUUGCAUCAACCUCUACUACCAGCACCGUAUCGACACUCGCGUCCCCAUUGAAGUCACUAUAUGGAUCCCUUAUCAAACUUUCACCUCGCUUGAGACUUUCUCCGAGCCAUAUGAUUAGUUGCUAAAUUAGAUUGGUGUUGAUGAUGCAUCGUCAUGUUGUUACAAGUUUGUUGAAUUUUGUUAAAUGACACUUAAGUUCAGCUGAUAGCAAAGCUCAAGAUGCGGCACGGUGUUGUUCAGGGGUUGUGGAAUUUAGUAGUUUAAUGGCUUGAGUUUUCGUUUUGUGGGCAUCCUUUACAAGUUAAGGGUCAACAAGCAUGAAAAUCAUUCGAAAUCUUCCUUACCUUUGAGAUGAAAGUGCUCCGGGGUUCAUCCUGAUUUUUUUUUUUUUUGGUGGUGAAAGUAAGUAAUUGUAUUAAGCUUUGCCAACUAUACAAGAUGAAAUCUUGGCACCAAAACUUGCACUCAGAAUGACAUGACGUCAAUGCGAGUGGAAGGAUGCUGAGAUGAAAAAUAGCAAGCAAUAAACGGUGUUGACACCUAAAUUUUGGCGAUCCGAUUAUUUAUUUAUUACAUAAAAAUUAUGGGUCAAUUUGUCUCUUAAAAAAUAUUAAUUACAUAUAGAUUUAGGUGCAUUUAUUUUUAAUUUAAUUUUUUUGUAUUUUAUUGGAUCGAUGGUGGAUGGAUUCAAAUUAAUGGUUAUGAAUUUUAAAUUGACAAAUCGAACUAAGUUCACGAAUAUAAGAAAUUGGCGCAAGCCCGUAUUUGAAAAAAUUCUAUUGUAAUUUUUGAAAAAUCAAUAGAAAACAUUCAUUUUUGCAAAGGAAAUCAAGAAGAGCUGUGGAAAAUAAAAAGUGAUAUUACGUGCGGAAAAGAAAUCUUUGCAGAUGUUGAUUUAAAAAGGAAAUUAAAAUCCUAAUUUUUGGUCUAUAAAAAAGUAACUUAGUAUAGGGUUUUGGGGAGGCUACACAUGGAAUACACAGCCAGUGGAGGGCGAAAUUCGAAAAAAUUUGGAGAGCAAACGCGAGGGGGCUUUUUCCUUCGGUUGAUUGGAGUUGAGAAUUCAAGAAAAAAGAAGAAGAAAGAAUUCGUUUGUUUGUGAAAAAAGGCAGCAAAAGUGUGCAGAAAAAAAGGAAGAGACAGAGACGGGACAGGGAAGAGUGAUGUGAGAGAGAGACGUGGAGUAGAAUAAAAAAGAAAAAAGAAAGUAAAAACAGGGAAGACUGUUCAUCCUCGCAAGCGCCUCAACCGCUGUCGCCGAUCCCUUUCGCCCGCACCGGCCCGCGACCUGCAGCCGCCGCGCUCCGUCGCCGCCUCACCCGAGCCGCCGACCACCACCGCUCGCUGCUCACACUACCGCUGUCCCGAUCUGCCCGCUCGAGCGUCCCUACGCCGGCAGAUCUGAGCUGCUCGCCACUCCACCGCCGCGCGAGUUCCCGCACCGGUCCGCGCCUCCUCUGCUGCUCGUGCCGUGCCACCACCAGGGUUCCUCUCGCUCGCGAGCUCGCACCGCCGCCCCGCUGUGCUGAUCCGCGACGACCCGACGCUCCGCUGCUGCUGCUGCUGCACCUUCGCAGGUCACCCCACCAGCACCACCGUUCGUCGCCCUGGCUGUAGGCGCGACGACUCGACACCGCCUCUGCUCAGUCACUCCUUCACCCGCUCCUGCUGCAGCACCAGUCGCUGCAACCUCCGCCGUCGCUCUUGCAUCCGACCCGACGCCAGCAGCAACGAUCCAGAUCCGGCGCCUGCUGCAGCCACAGCCCGACGCCGCUCCUCUGCCCGCGACCCAAGACCGGACGCCCAGGUCCGACGCCCUGCAGCUCCCUCUCUGAGUGACUCCCGCGACUUCCCUCACCGGAGCAACCCACCACGUUGCUGCUUCGCUUGAAAAAAAGAAAAAGAAAAAGAAAACAAAAAAAGAAAAAUCAAUUUAGGUAAUUUUUCCUUUUAUUUAUCUAUCUUAUUUUAUUAUUUUUGUUAUUUAACUUUAUUUGUUCUUUUUCAGUAUAAUUAUUCCUUAGUGUAAGGAUGAGAUGUUCGACAUGAAAUAGCCUGUGAAAUUUGUGAUUGUCAGUCCGAUUUUCACGCCUAAAAUCCGACUUGCAAUCACUUAAAAAAAAUCGCUAAUCCGAUCUUCCGCCUAAGAUUCAAUUCGCGAUUUAUGUGAAAUUGACCAACUCGAUUUCAUGCGCGAGAUAUAAUUCGUCAAUUUGGAUAUCAUCUUGCUCCGAUUUGUUGUCGUGUCAUUUAAUUAAAUUUGCUUUCAUAAAAAAAAAAUGUAGGUUAGAAUUAGGUUUAUUCCCUAUUUUAGGGUUUACAUAUUUAAAAUAUGAAUUUUAUUUCGAAUUUUUUUUUAAAAAAUAAUAAUAAAUUAAAAAAUCAAAAAUCAAAUCAAUUAAUUUAGGUUGCUAGUUUUUUUUUUUUUUUUUUAAAACUUGGAUUGCAUGUUUAAUUGUUUGGCAAUUAUUAAUUUCGAAAUUAAUAAAACAAAAACGCAACAAAAAAUCAUCAUGCAUAUGUCAUAUAGAAUUAGGGCAUCUUUUGUAUGUCAUUGCAUAUUAGGGUAAAAUUGCUAAUAUUUUUCUUAAUUUAUUAUAAGUUUAGGUAUUUUCUUAGAUAGAUUGCAUUUUAGGAUUGCUUGGGUUAGGAUAAUAUUCUAAUUUAAAUUAGGAUUUGGCUUAACCUAAUUCCUAAUACAAAUUGAAUAGAAUCUUAAUCUAGUUAGAUAAUUUUCACAUUUAAUCUAAUUUCGAAUUUCAUGAAAAAUACAAAAAAAAAGUCUUAGAAUAAAUUGGUUUUAUUCUCUAGGAUAAAUUGCAUUCUCUUUAAGGAAAAAAGAAGAAAAAUAUCAUGUGCAUGCCAUAUAAGAUUAGACUCAUGAGAUGCAUACCAUUUAGUGAUUGUUGCUAGUCCAUUUAAUUAGAAAUUGCAUAUCAUUAGAAUUAGGUCAUUUAGUUAUAUUGCAUUGCAUAUUAUAUGAUUUUCAUUAAAUAAGUGAAAAUAAAGAAAUUGCGUAUUGAUUAGAAAUUAUAUUUAAAACCGUCGAUGUGAAUUUUGAUAUAACAUUGUAGAUGCUUUCGUUGCUAUGAAAUGACUAUUACAAUUUAUUCAUUAUUUAUCUGGGUGUUAAAUUGGUGGUUUGCGCACUCAUAUGAUCACUUCAUAUGUUAAAAAAAUAGAUUUAAAAUCAAUCCAAAUUGCAUGUAAAAACAUUUUUGAAAAUAAAAAGAAGUGGUACCGAAAGGGUAUUAGAGAAUCUAGCAUAAUUAAGUCUCUGAACUCAUAAAUCUCUAAUUCGUAGGAGUGAAGUAAAUCUCCCGUUACUUUAUUUGAAGAUUAAUGGCGACUCCUAACUGAAAUAUCGUUUGUAUGUUAAGAACUUAAACCCAAGUUGCAAAUUGGUAUGGCUUGGGAGAGCUUGAGUUAGGUCUAGGCUUAACAAUUCAUUAGCCAAACCUUAGGUGAUACACACCUGAAAAUUUGGUCGCGACAAAUGGUAACAGCCACCACACAGCAAAGAAGAGCCAAACAACGGCCACCACUAGCAACCAAAGCAAAAAACAAAAGGCAACCGAGGGAUCAAACAGACGCAGCCAGAUCACCCCAAGCACCAAACCAAAAAGGGAAAGGCACAGUUCAAGCGUCCCAGUUGAGAGAAGCCGUGACCGACACGAACCAGGGGAGGAGGAAUCUUCAGUGAAACAGCCAACCCCAAGGACCUCGGCGGUAGCUCAGCACAAGAAUGUCCACCCUAGAAGGGUAUCCAGUUAGAAGGAGAUGGAUGAUGGAACAACCAUUCUCAAGGAUCGAACUCGCCGCUGAAAUAGCAGCUACAUGGAAAUCAGCUUCGUAGAUUUGAUCAAGAAUCACCUAAAGAGAAAACAAUCGGAUCAAUGCCCCAGGCACGCUGGAGUAUCCUGUUCCUCGCGGUACUAUCGACAUUUCUGAAAGUUAGAGCCUUAUCCCGGACAACCCUAAGGAGAUGGUUCUUCAGGGCCGGGAUCGUAGGAGUUAGCUCUCUAAACAAAAUAUCAUUCCUGUUCUUUCAUAUAAUGUGACAGAGGGCUCCAAGGGGUUCAUCCUGAAUUUAUAUACAGGAAUCACAGAUAAAGUUGUUCCUGGACUUUAUGCGGAGACAUUUGAUUCUUGACAUAUUGUGAAAUAUGACAAGUACUUGGAAUACUUCUUUUAUUUGCUCUCUUCUGUGAGAGAUUCAGGAAAUCUACCUCCGUUAACUCAAUACCUUGUGACUUUUUUGUUGCAUUGUGAUGCAUGAUAAUUGAGGGAUCUAGACACAUAAAAAGCUAAUGCCAUGCAUAAUUUUCUGGAUCUUAACAUGUAAGAUCUUUCGUCCAAAAAAAAAAAAAAACAUGUAAGAUCUUGAUUUUGUUGUUUUGUCAUGUGAAUAUGCAUAGAUCGGAGAGCUAAAGAAGCUCGUGGAAGAGGGUAAGAUAAAGUACAUCGGUUUAUCCGAGGCCUCUGCCUCAACAAUCAGAAGAGCACAUGCUGUUCAUCCCAUCACAGCGGUGCAAUUGGAGUGGUCGCUUUGGUCAAGAGAUGUGGAGGCAGAGAUCGUUCCAACGUGCAGGUAGGAUAUCACUCUGUUAAUUGUUUAUGCAGCAACAACAGCUUCCUUCUGACUCUGCUUUUCCUUUAAAAUGUUGACUAGGGAGCUUGGCAUUGGAAUUGUUGCCUACAGUCCUUUAGGACGAGGAUUCUUUUCUGUUGGCUCCAAGUUGGUGGAGAAUAUCUCUAAGGAUGACUUCAGACAGGUCUGUUCCUGCUUGUCAACAUAAUUAGAUGCCAGUAUCGGGCUUUGGCCCUCCGUCCUUUUUCAUUCUCAUCUUUCUUCACAAGAUAAACUAUAUCUUGACACAACCAUUUCUUGAGUAAGGACUCCUAGCACCCUUCUUAUGAGAGUUUUGGCUCAAGUUCCCAUCUGACAUAAAGCCAAUUGUGUAUUACUCCCCGCCAUUAGCGUUUGACUAGCGAUAGUGCUGGGCAAGUGAAGUAGCUAUUUUUUUUUUUUUGUAGCUAAAAGAGCUUUGCGUCUGAUAACGUUCUUCUACACAUCAUCUACAUUUCUGAUUUUUAUUUUAUGUGUGACUCAGGAAAAUGAUAAUUGCUCAUAUGCUCUCUGCUGAGACAUUGCUCUAUGUUAUGCAGUAUCUACCAAGGUUCCGGCCAGAGAACUUGGCUCACAACACGAAGUUAUUUGACCGAGUGAAUGGAAUUGCACAAAGAAAGGGAUGCACCACAUCGCAGUUAGCCCUCGCCUGGGUACACCACCAGGGUGAUGAUGUUUGCCUGAUUCCCGGCACGACCAAGAUCGAGAAUUUCAACUAGAACAUUGGAGCUCUGUCAGUGAAGCUUACACCGGAAGAGAUGGCCGAGCUUGAAUCGAUUGCUUCUGCAGACAGUGUCAAGGGUGGCAGGUACGAUGGAAGCAUGUCUACAUGGGAAAACUCCGACACUCCACCCCUUUCUUAAUAAAAUUAUGUGUUUUUCUAGUAAGGGAUGUUGCGAAAACUUUAUUGUCUUUUGCAUGCGUAAUUAUAACUAUGAGUGUAACUAUGCGUAAUUACAACAUGUGGCGUCACACAAUCCUCAGCACUUGAAUUGGGGUCUAUCAAGGUAGUGCUUGAGUCUAUGAUGCUCAAGCUCUAUUCAAUAGCACUUAGGCUCGGGUCCGCAAAGAUUGUGCAUCAGUCCUCAAUGCUUGAGGUCGGCUCGUUAGUUAAUAAAACGUUUGUUCUUAUAAAAAUAAUUAUUUUUAAAAAAUCUAUUUUUUUAUAUUAUUUGUUUUCUUUCUUUUUAUUUUCCUUCUUCUCGGCUAGUUGCCAACCAUGGCGCCGAUUGCGCCUGAUAACAAGCACCGGAUGAGCUAGCCCAAGGCCAAGAAGACUUGAGAUUGCUGAUUUGGCAAGCUUGAAGCUGGUCAAGUGCAAGCUCGAGUUUCGCCCCGUGGCUAGUCGCCAACUACCACCGUGGCUAGCGUUCGGUCGAGGAAGAAGAAAAAGAAAAAUAAGUAAAAAUCUGAAUAUUUUGUAAUCUUCUAUAGGGAAAUCAAAUAAGAUUUUUCAUAUUAAACGAUAAAAAAUAUUUUCUAGUUUAUUUUUAAGACUUAACCAAAUAUUGAAAAUGACUUUUUGUAAAAUAUUAUUCAAAUAUGUCAUAUUUUUUGCGAAACAAACGGUACAUAAAUUUAAAUUUGAUAAUUGUCCUUGUUAAUUUGGUACACAUUAUCUGUCUCUUUGUUUUGUUGCUGAACUGAUGCUAAUCUCUAGAUGAAGCUUGACUAGUUUCAAUAGGCGGCUUGACUUUUGCGCUUCCUUUUUUUUAAAACCCAAAACACUCAAAACUUUCGUGAUACACGACUUUCGACAUGCAGAGUUACAAUCACUUCAAAUAAUUUAUCUGAAAAUUGUAUAGUGGGCCAUCCGAGAAAGGUGAGGGCAACUUGUCCCCCUAGAAAUUGUCAUGACGUGGAACUCUUGACAUGAAUUGAAGUGACUUUUGUUAAGAGUUAACUAGUCAAGAUCGGGCCACAUCUGUCCAUUCAUGUCCGCCACAUCCGGCCCCUCCAAUCGGACUCCCCGGCGAAAAGAUUCACGGACACGUGGCUGGAUCUAGAAAGUCACGGGUUUGACUUGUCUUUUGUGUCACUAUCAAGAAUGUGCAUGGUCCGGACGGGCGAUUCCCGACCUAGAAUCGGGAACUGCUUGCUAAGGACCGAUUCCAAAACAUUGAAACGGAGAUCCACCAGUUAGUUGAAUGAAUCCACUUGGGAACCAGAUCGCUGAUUCAGUCCGAUUUCUAGGUGGAUCUAUGGAACCGAUCUUGACGCUAAAUAAUUUUAUUUUCAAUAUAGAACGACUACGUGAUUUCCAUAACAACAGCUGGAGAGGUUGUAGAAGGAUAUCAUGGUAGGCACUUACGAUAAUCGUGAGGAAAUGAUAGCAAUUUUGGUUAAACUUGUUUUCUAUCAUGGCUAUCAUGGGUCGAAUAAAAUUUUGCAAGCAAAUUUCGUGUCCUAGGCAUUUUUUUUCUCUUAGGUGUGAUGCUUUAAAAACCCUCUAUGUGAUGCUUAGGAACCUUUGUUUGUGAUGAAGCCUAAAGAUUUAUUCCUUGUUGUGGACUUGUUGUCCUACAUCAAAAUCUCUCAGUCAAACUUUUUUGCUUUGUUUUGGUAAGUCUGUAUAAGGUAUAUUACAGAAGUUGCAUUACGAGAUAUUUCUUCCUUAUUGUCUUUUUAGUUUAACUAAGGCCAAAUUGUUUUGGCAUUUUUCCAAGCAUUUCAUUAUGGAAUGAUGAUAAGAAGCGAUCUUGACUUAAUGCUUUUAGUUAUUUGAUUUGGAUUUAUUAAUUAGUAAUUUCAUUUUUUAAUAUUAAAAAUUAAUAUAUUAUUUUAAUAUAAUCGGUUCGGUCUAGGUGGGCGGGUAGAUAGAUCCGCUCAUGGAACUGGGAACCAGACUGGUACUCACCGGUUCCCAUAAAUUGGAAUCGAGAACCGGACCGGUUCCCUUAAAAACUACCGGUUCUGGGCGGUCCAAGCGGGUUUCGGUUAUUUUGCACAAAGAAUUAAAAAUUCAAUUUUUUUUAAAAAUAUUUUAAAAAGAAUUAUAAAAAUUUUCAUUAAAUUUGUAUUGCAUAAAAAUGUUUUAACAAUACUUUUUUUUAAAUAAAAAAAUCAUAAAAACGAGCUUUUUAAGGGUUAAUUAUUUUUUUUAUGUUAUUGUUUUUAGUUAUUCAAAGGUAUGUUUACUUCAAAUAAGGGAAGCAUGUGCAUAGUUUAAUUCUUUAUAAAUAUUUAAAUGUUUUUUUAAACUUUUCUUAUUUUAUUUUAUUUUCUAUUUUUAAUUUAAUUUGAAGAUUUAAUCUAAUUAGCAUAUAAUAGAAGUGGAUUUUCCUAAAAUAUUAAGAGGUUUUAGCAAUACGAGUUGGAUCGGGUAUGUGUCGGGUAUAUAUGAAUAUGGAUCAGAAUAAGUUAAAUAGAUCAAAUAUGAGUUCAUUCGUUUUCGACCGGACUCAAAUCCGGCUUGAUCCGGUUUCGACCCAACCCAAAUCCGACUCGAUCCACUCAUUUAACGGGUCUAGAUUGAAUUGACGUAAGCACGUGCGUCUUCGUAGCUACUGCCGCUCCCCUCCUAUAAAUCUCGGCUCGCCCGACAUCUUAGCCAUCGUCACGGUGCAGUGCAGGGAACGAGCGAGCUCGAGCUAGACGACGGCAAUGGCAGCGUCGACGACGACGGUGGGGAGGAUCAAGCUGGGGUCGCAGGGCAUGGAGGUGUCGGCGCAGGGGCUGGGCUGCAUGGGCAUGUCCAUCGGCUACGGCCCUCCCAAGCCCGACCCCGACAUGAUCGCCCUCAUCCACCACGCCGUCGGCUCCGGCGUCACCUUCCUCGACACCUCCGACAUCUACGGCCCCCACACCAACGAAAUCCUCCUCGGAAAGGUCGGUUCUCUCAGUCUCUCUUUUGCCUCCGCAUGAAUCAUACGUGCUUAUAGUGUUACGGAAUUCAGCUUCAUCGAGCAGGAUGCUCCGAUCCUGCGCCUUGGUUUUCUGAUUUCGGGGUUGAUUUUGAGCAGGCACUGAAGGGAGGGGUGAGGCAGAAGGUGGAAUUGGCGACCAAGUUCGGAGUCAGCUUCGCGGACGGGAAGAGGGAGAUCCGGGGCGAUCCGGCGUACGUGAGGGCUGCUUGCGAGGCCAGCUUGAGGCGGCUCCACAUCGAUUGCAUUGACCUCUACUACCAACAUCGCAUCGACACUCGCGUCCCCAUCGAAGUCACUGUAUGGAUCCCACAUCAAACCUUUACCUCUCUCGGGACUUUCUCCGAGUGAUCAGUUGCUAAAUUAGAAUGGUGUUGAUGAUGCAUCAUCAUCAAGAUAUCGUUAAAUGUGACUUGAGUUCAGAUGAUAGCAGAGUUCAAGAUGUGGCACGGUGUUGUUCAAGGGAUUGCGGAAUUUAGUAGUUUAUAUGGCUUGAGUUUUUGUUUUAUGGGUCAACAAGCAUGAAAAUUAUUCGAAAUCCAGGGUUCACCCUGAUUUAUAUCUGAGAAUCACAUUUGAAGUUGUUCCUGGACUUUCUGCGCAGACAUUUGGUUCUUGACUUGUCAUUGUGAAAUAUGACAAGUACUUGGAAUACUUCUUUAAUUUGCCUUCUUCUGUGAUAGAUUAGAGAGAUCCAUUUCCGUUAACGAUACCUUGCCAUUUUCUUGUUGCAUUGAGAUGCAUAAAGAUUGACUAUUUUUUGCUAGGAGCUACCUAAUCAAAUUGUAAUGUUUGAGAAGUCAGGGAACACAAACUAUUCAGGCAUCAGGACACAAGAAAAACUAAUGAUGUUCAAUAACUUCUGGAUCUUAACACGUAAGAUUUUGACGAUUGUUGUUUUGUCAUGUGAAUAUGCACAGGUUGGAGAGCUAAAGAAGCUCGUUGAAGAGGGUAAGAUAAAGUACAUCGGUUUAUCCGAGGCCUCUGCAUCAACAAUCAGAAGAGCACAUGCUGUUCAUCCCAUCACAGCAGUGCAAUUGGAGUGGUCGCUUUGGUCAAGAGAUGUGGAGGCAGAGAUCAUUCCCACGUGCAGGUAGGAUAUCACUGUUUAUUUGUUUAUGCAGUAACAACAUCUUUCUUCUGACUCUGCUCUUCCUUAAAAUGUUGACUAGGGAGCUUGGCAUUGGAAUUGUUGCCUACAGUCCUCUUGGACGAGGAUUCUUUUCUGUUGGCUCCAAGUUGGUGGAGAAUCUCUCUAAGGAUGACUUCAGACAGGUCUGUUUCUGCUGGUUAACAUAAUUAGAUGCUCACAGUUACUGUCAUUCCCAUUGAAGUGCUGGAAACCUGUUCUUAUUCUAUAAAGAAAAAGUUUGUGACACGAAUGCUUCAUAUUCUUAUUCGAUCCAGCACUUGCCAGUCAUCCCACCUCUCGUGAUUCUAGAUAAAUUUAAAAAUCACAAGUAAUGGCUUUAAUGAGCCUGAAAGGGGCAGUUUUCUGGAUUCUCGUGCUUUUGGGAAUGAACAAAUAUAGGUUUAUUUGUAAGUUGCUCCGUUUCCCAGCUUUCCCACCAUUUGCUUAUCACUAUCCUUUCCCCACUUUCCACCCGCCCUUUUUCUCUCAUAUCUCUUCACAAGAUUAGCAAUAUUUGCUCAAAAUAACCGAGACCAGUAUCGGGCCUUGGCCUCCGUCCUUUUUGUUUCUCAUCUUUCUUCACAAGAUAAAUUAUAUCUUGACACAACCAUUUCUUGAGCGAGGACUCCCUAACACCCUUCUUAUGAGAGUGUUGGGAUCAAGUUCCCAUCUGACAUAAAGCCAAUUGUGUAUUACUCCUGGCCAUUAGUGUUUGAGUAGCGAUAGUGCUGGGCAAGUGAAGUAGCUAUUUUUCUUUGUAGCUAAAUGAGCUUUGCGUCUGAUAACAUUCUUCUACACGUCAUCUACCUUUUGUGAUUUUUUUUUCUUAUGUGUGACUAAUGUUACCAUCACACGUACAAAACUUAGAUUGUCUAGUUUGUUUCUGUUUUCACUUCCUACAUCAAACCCAUCAGCCUUGUGUGGUAGUUGCUAGAUCACUUCGCUCGACGUUUCUAGUUCUUAUGAUUUGGGGCUAGGUAUUUUAAUCAUUUCAAGAUAAUCAUAACUGAUCAUGCUUUUCCAGGUACACAACAAUUGUGCACUUCUAAAUGCUUAUUAGGUCAAGUAACAAGGCAAUCUGUUGGCAUGCAAUGCGAUCACUUUUGCACCUUGCUGCUGUAGAAUUUGGCCUUAAAAGGAAAAUGAUAGUUGCUCAUAUGCUUUCUGCUGAGACAUUGCUCUAUGUUAUGCAGAACCAACCAAGGUUCCAGCCAGAGAACUUGGCUCACAACAUGAAGUUAUUUGACCGAGUGAAUGAAAUUGCGCAAAGAAAGGGAUGCACCACAUCGCAGUUAGCCCUUGCCUGGGUACACUACCAGGGUGAUGAUGUUUGCCCGAUUCCCGGCACGACCAAGAUCGAGAAUUUCAACCAGAACAUUGGAGCUCUGUCAGUGAAGCUUACACCGGAAGAGAUGGCUGAGCUCGAAUCAAUUGCUUCUGCAGACAAUGUCAAGGGUGGCAGGUACAAUGGAAACCUCUCUCCAUGGGAAAACUCCGACACUCCACCCCUUUCUUCUUGGAAACCUGCCUAGAAACAUGUCUACUUCUGUUGCUGCGUCUUUGAUAUGCAGAGUUUGUGCAUUUGCCGCUGAAGUAAUUUGAGGCUAUGUUGUGUGGCUGUUAUAAGUACGUGUAAUAAGAGAGUGACUGUUUUCGUUUUGUACAUGUGACAUUCACUAUGAGAAGAUUAUGGAUAUGUUCUAAGCUUACUGGGGAAAGAUCACCCGCUAACACGAGAGCAAGUUUUUUAUGAACCGAGCUUGCCGUGCCGACUUUAUCGGGGUGACUUUUAGAAUAUGAGAAAUUGGGAUUUUGAAGAAUUCAAACUCAGUCAUACAUACUAGAGUGAUGCUUUAUUCUCCUCCAACUAGUCUUGGUCCAGUUUCCAGAGAGAUUAGGUCGAUCCUUGGUCCUAGAAUUUCAGGACUAGCACUGUGCGGGUCGAUUCUUAGUCCUAAGAGUUCUAGGUCGGUCCAAUCCAAACCAACCUUAUAUAUAUAUAUAUAUAUUAUUUAUAAUUUUUUUAUAUAGAGAAAACCUUAAAACAAACGGCGUCAAUAACAUUAAAGAGUUAUUUAGUAAAGAGUUCAAGUAAUUUUACAUUGUUCUUUAAUAUUUUAGAUUUUUAAUGUCUUUUACGAUAUUAAUAGUCAUAAUUUACGAAGGAGGAAAUUGUUUUUGUAAGGAGUCCUCAUGAUAUCUAAAAAGGUAUAAAUGGCAUCAUUCUUUAGUAUUCGUUCUCUUUGGUUUUAUUCGUUCUCUUAAUUAUCAAUUUGCCAAAAUUGAAAGAAGCAAUCGCUCACUUUGGGUCACUCCUGCCGCUCGCCGCUUAAUGCUCGCUUGGCUUGUUGCUCCAUGCUCGAUAUUCGAUAUUUAUUCUGUUCGACGCUCACCCCACUUGACUCUCGUUGCUUGCCUUUUUUAGUUGACCUUGCUCAUCAUCGAAUCCAUUAGGUCAAUAUGGUCCUCAGUUGCUUUUUCAAGGAUUACAAAAAAUGAAAUAAAAAAUUAUUAAUUAGUCCUAAGUUGACCUUGAAACCAGACCGAACCCAUUGGGUCCGUUUGAUCUUCAAUCGCUUUUUUAAGGUGUACAAAAAAUGAAAUAAAAAAUUAUUGGUUGGUCCCGGGUUGACCCUAGAACUGGACCGAACCCAUUGGAUCAGUUCGGUCAUUGGUCCUAAGCUUAAUAGGGUUGGUUCUCGGUCCAAAAAACUGAGGACCAGCAUUGUGUGAGUUGGUCAUAGGGUUAGGGGGUGAACCGGCCCAACCUGGACCAUACUCACUCCUACCUCUAACCAUGAGUUCAAUACUAGCACCAUGUGCAACAUACUCUUAGGACUGGAUGCUACACAUAGAUACAACGCUUCGCUUUGUGUUUGGUUUCGUAGCGAAGUAAAGGAACAGUAAAAUGCUAUUGGAUGUUCUCGCGAAAAUGAAGUUUGGGAUAAAAUGUUGGCGCGGUUGAUAUGAGUGUCGAGGAAAUCGAAGGUUUCUUGUUCAAGUUUAACCACCUACGGUUCAUGAGCUUUUAUGUAGCUCAAUACCUUCGCUCAUGCCUCUGCAUUAUUAUAAAACAGUCGGAGAUAUUGCGCAAGUUUCCUAAAAUUAAAAACAACAAUUCUAUUGUUUUUUAUUUGGAGUUAGAGUGGAGCAAUGUCGUUUUGUUUUGAUUUAGGAAAAUAACGCAAAUAGUCAUUGAACUUUGGUCCAAUGUGUUAUGUUCUUAUUGAACUUUUAAUUUAUUUAGUAUGACUGUCGAACUUUUUAUACAUGUUUAAUUUAGAUCCUAGGCUAGAUAAAUCCAACGAUGCUGUGUUUGGUCGUUCGAACAUCUUUGCUGUAUGGGAUAAUGAAUGGAUGAAAAUCCCAUCUAAUAUUUCUUGACGUCUGGAUAUAGCAUGAUUCAAAAUAAAUCUUUUUUUUUUUAAAUGAGUGUUUGAUUUGUAUAAUUAAAAUUAAAAAUAAACCAUGGAAGUCGUGAAUAGUAUUCAUCCUUUCACAAUCUUCAUCGAUAUUAAACACCCCCGUUCCAUGUGACUUCAAGGACGCUCUCUCCUUCUGCAACGCCCCUUUCGCUGCCCUUGAUCAACUUGAUGGAUUACGCUCGCUCUACCUUUGACUUCGCCACAUUGAGAGGCCCUUGGGUUUGAGUUCUCCGCUGGUCUAGCCAUCUUUACUUCGAAUGCCUUUUCCUGCGAUGAAUCCAUCCCCUUCGACGAGUGCGAAUACUGCGUUGAUUCCCUGUUACCGUGCCCCGACUUGUUCAGUCGCUUCAACAGCUUCCCCCGAGACAGCGUGCGGAUCCGGUUUAUGAGUGGUAGCACCAUCGGUGCUACUCGCUCCGAGUGACGUGGUUGAAGAGCUCUAUCACCUUGGCUGCCGCCUCUUUCGGAUCAUCUUCUUCACAGAGAAGAUGUCCAGCUUUGAUCGGGAUCACAAAGUUCCCUACUAAAAUGGAGUUAAGUGACAUAAGAAAGAGGCAGGGCUGACGAGCUCCGACGCCACUUUUCCGAGGCAGCCAAAGGUGGUAAGCAGCUUGUCACUGGUAGGAGGAACGGUGGCCCUUAGACUUUGCUCAGGUCGUUGUGGCGAGGGCUUCUCUAGGUAUCUUCGCGAUACUCAUGCUCUAAGUUUGUGGUGGUCAUUUUAGUGAGAGAAAUUGAAACAAGAGAGAUGAUGCGGCACCGGUCAAAAGUGAGGAUAAGCCAUCAACAAGCGCAGGAGUGGGGGAAAAACUUGUAUCCCUUAUUUUUUUCAAUUUUCCAAAUUUCACAUAUCCUAUUUGGAUCUAUAUCACUUUCUAGAUGAGAUUUUUUAUCCGGACUAUAUCCAAAUUUCACGUUACUCUAAACACCGGAUAUGAUCAAACUUAUCAUAUCAGAGUUUUAUUCGGCCCAUCAAAGACAGACUUAUGAGAUAGAAUGCAAUGAUAUAAUCUAUGAAUUAGAUUAAACAUUUAUUAAAAGUUUAAGAAUAAUAUUUCACAUUUUGAUUGUUAGGAUGCACGAGUGAGUUAUGUUAAAACAAUCCCACAAUAUAUUGAUAGCUUUGUAAUAAGGCUUUCUCUUGGUGAUGACAUAGAUCCAUAUGGAGAAAUUAAUGGGAGGGUUUAUUUGGCCUAACUAAAUGGGAGGCUAUAUCAAUCGGAGCUUUUUCAUUGUAACAUUCCCUUGUGCUUGGUAUUUGUAUUUUAGUAAAAGGAUUUUGCUAGCAUAAUAAUCUUUGGGUUAUCAUGAGAAUAACAAUUUAUUAUGAUUUACAAAAUUUUAAAAUAGUAAACCUCAAUUCAAUUUUAAACUUUUUUUUUUCUAACUAAUUCAAUCCUAAAUAUUUUGCAUUUGUGACAAUUUAGUCUAUUCGGCCAUUUUUCGCCAAGAGGCAUUGAUGUGAACUUUGGCUGAUCGACCAAUGCUGACAUGGACAAUUUUUUUAAUAAUAUUUUAUUUUUCUUAUUUUUUAUUAAUUUUUUCUUUCUUUUUUUCUUCACUUCCUUCUCCUUCCUCCAGCCAGUCGGCAAGAGGCAAGGUUGGUGAGGGACCUUGCUGGCCUUGAGGAAGCUUGGCCAUGGUUGGGCAACCUUGCUCGUGGCUAGGCGACCUCGCCGAGGCCGCCGAUUGGGCUGGCGAGGGUUGACCCUCGUUGGCCAUAGGUCAGGACAAAGGCUGCUAGUUGGGCUUGCCCUUAUUGAAUCUGGUGAGGGUUGAGUCUCAUUGGCCAUGGGCAAGGUCAAAGGCCGCGACCUCUCGUGGUCUCUGGCGAGGCUUGCCAAAGGUUGAGCAAGGCUUACCCUCAUUGGACUGACGAGGGUUGAGCCUCGUCAGCCAAGAGCGAGAUCGUAACUUGCCCAUGGCCGGUGAGGCUCGCCUAGGCCAAAGACAGGCGGGGCCUUGCCUAACCAUGGCAAGGGUGGCCUCACCAUUGUUGGGUGAGGCUAGCCCUUGCCAGUGGCGUGUGGGGGUAAGCCUUGCCAUUGGUUGGCAAGGCUGACUUCACUGGCUUGAAUAAAAUAAAAUAUUAUUAAAAGAUUAUUCACAUCAAUAUUAGCCGAACGAGUGGUGCUCGUCGGCCAAAAUUGGCCGGAUGAAUUGAAUUAGUAUAAUUGCAAAAUGUUUAGGACUGAAUUGGCUAGAAAAAAAAAAGAUUUUAAGACUAAAUUAGAAAAAUUGCAAUAAGUUUAUGAUUGUUUUGGUAAUUUUUUCGUAUAAUAACCCUAGUAAAGAUGACUCACUUAAUUUGAGCGUCAAUAAAUCAAAGGUCACUUGUUUAGUUCUCACAACUUAUUUGUAAAUCACUUUAGAAGUGCAAAUCCAAUCAAUUUAUGAGCUUGCAAAAUGAGUCUCUAGAUAAACCAACUUUUGUAUUCGUGCUUCAGGAUUAUAAUAAAAUAUUAGAGGUUUUCAUCAGUGUAUCAUGAUAGGCUAGAUAGGGCGUUUUCUUUUGCACUUGUCAUACAUGAUCAUUUUGUAUCCUUUGAACUCAUGUUAUUUGUUGGUACUAGGUUGAGUGGUAAUAUGAUCUCCUACCUUAUACUUAGAUAUUUCAUUUAUUAGGCUUCGCCUCACUCCUUUUUUUCUUUUUUUUUCUUUUUUGUUGUAGGAUGAUUCCCCUAAAGAUGGUGACGGAGGGGCCGAGUUGAUAUCGGAAGCCAUUAAUCCUUGAGUUGGAUGGUAGUUUAGUUAGUAUGGAUGUAAUGGUAUUAGGUGACCCCGAUCUUUCCUAGGACUAUAAAAUUUUUUGUGAUAAUUACUAUCGAUAUUGUAUAAAGCCAAAGACACUUUUUUUUUUAAUAAACUCAUGCAUUUUUCUAGUAAAGGAUGUUGUGAAAACUUUAUUGUCUUUUCCAUGCGUAAUUAUAACUAUGAGUAUAAAUGGAAAUGACAUGUGCCGCAUGUGAUGUUCCAAGGCGUCACAUAAUCCCCAACACUCAAAUUAGGGUCCAUUAAGGCAGUGCUUAAAACUAUGAUGCUCAAGUUCUAUUCGGCAGCACUUAGGCUCGGGUCCAACAAGAUCGUGUGUCAGUCCUCAAUGCUCGGGCUCGGCUCGUUAGUUAAUAAAAUGUUGUUCUUAUAAAAAUAAUUCUUUUUAUUUUCAUUUUAUAUUCAUUUGUUUUCUUUCUUUUUCUUUCUCCUUCUUCUUGGCUGGUUGCCGACCAUGAUGACGAUUGCGCCUGAGAACAAGCGAGAGAUGAGCUAGCCCAAGGCCAAGAAGACUUGAGAUUGCUGAUUUGGCAAGCUUGAAGUUGGUUGAUCAAGUGACGCUAAAGCUCCCUAGCGUUGGGCAACCUCGAGUUUCACCUCAUGGCUAGUCGCCAACUACCACCGUGGCGAGCGAUCGGUUGAGGAAGAAGAAAAAUAAAAAUAAAAUUAAAAGAGAAAAUAACUAAAAAUCUGAAUAUUUUGGCAUUUUCUAUAGGGAAAUCAAAUCGAAAAAAUAUUUUCUAGUUUAUCUUUAGGACUUAACCAAAUAUUGGAAAUAUUAUUCAGAUAUGUCAUAUUUUUUGCGAAACAAACGGUGCGUAAAUAUUUAGAUUUGAUAAUUGUCCAUGUUAAUUAGGUACACAUUAUCUCACUCUUUGUUUCGUUGCCGAACUGAUGCUAAUCUCUAGACGAAGCUUGACUAGUCUCAACUCAAUAGGCGGCUUGACUUUUGCGCUUCCUUUUCUUCUUUUCUUUUUUCUUUUUAACUCAAAACACUCAAAACUUUCCUGGUACACGACUGUCGUCGUGUUACAAUCACUUUCAAUAAUGAUGGCCAUCCGAGCAAGAUGAGGGCGACUGGUCCCCCUAGAAAUUGUCAUGACGUUUGACUUUCAUGAAUUGAAAUGACUUUUCUCUGUCAAGGAGAAAAAUAGUUAACUAGUCAAGAUCGUGCCACAUCUCUCCAUCCAUGUCCUCCACAUCCGGCCCCACCAAUCGGACUCCCCGACAAAAAAAAUCGAGGACACGUGGCUGGAUCUAGAAAGUCACAGGUUCGACUUGUCUACUGUUAUCACUGUCCUUUUGCAAUAAUUUUUUUACACCCGUCUAGCUGUUGUGAGCUCCUCUGACAUACUAAUUGUGUGGAUAUGGUGAACUUGGGACCUUCUAUAAUCUGUCCAUAUUAAAAAUUUAAAAUGGACAAAUUCCGCCUCUCAUUGUGGAAUUCCACCCACAUUUCUCGCAAACUUUCAAACAUUAGUUCCAGGUCGUGCAUUCCAAUUGAGCCUUGUCUGGUCAAAUAUCAAAGUACUCUAGAGAAAAAUUUUAAAAAAAAUUGUAAAAAAGAGAGAGAAGGAAAACGAUUCAGCCUUAUAAUAACUUGCUAGGAACCACGUAGUUAAUUAGAGCAUCAAGAAAUUAGAGGUAGCUUGUGUAGUUCUCGCAAGUUACUUGUAAAUUGCUUUAGAAGUACAAACUUAAUUGAUUUAUGAGCUUGCACCAUAUUUUAUGAGUUUCUGAAUAACCAACUUUUGUAUUCAUGCAACUCACUCCGCUGUGACUGAGUUGGUUCGGACGUUCCCUCCUCUUCCAAUUGGGGGGAGGUUUGAGUCACCACGAUUGCAUUUGCGCAACUUAAGUGCGGCGCCAUGAGAGGUGGGUCCCCGUGCUAGCGUCACCGUGGGUUUACGUCGCCAGCUGCCGGUUGUACGGCGAUUCUCAAGUCAUAAAAAAAAAAGAAAAAAGAAAAUUUGUAUUCAUGCUUGUAGAUUAUAAUAAAAUAAUUGGUUGUGGUGGGCAAUUGAGAGUGACACCGUUUUCGCCUUUUAUUUUUUGUAAUAUGUGAAGUGUUGUUCUGUUUUUUGUUUUCGUCACCCUCCCACUUGUGCUAUAUUUGUUAGGUCUCCUCGCCAGGAGUUCGUCACUUUAUGUUAUUGACCUCUUAAUUAAAUACAACAAUACCUUCAAGGACUGCUCUUCAUAAAGGCGCGGAUUGGACGGCCGGUGACCGAGAUAGCAGCCUCCGCCCCUCCCUCGGUCUUGCCCUUUGCAUAACUUUUAGAAAACAUGCGUGAUUAGAGGAUCAAUAGUGACUUAAUUCUAACCCGUAUCGAUGUUACCCGUUUAGCAUCUCUUAGUAAAUGUAAAUAUUGUACGCGGAUGACAGCAUUUUGAAGAAUUUACAAUUGGUGUUCUUUUAUUAAAUAUGGUUGAUAUCAUGAAAAAUCUUAGAUUGAUACAUUUGCGACAAACUUAUCCCAAACUAUUUUUUUUACACAAAAACCGUAAACUAGUAUAUUUGUAAUUUUACCUAAAACUAUUUUUUUUUAUCGUCAAAAACCUCAAACUGAUAUAUUUGUAGCAAAAUUACUCUUUACUAACUAGUGUUAAAUUAUACUAAUAUGAAUUGGUACAUCUAUGACAAACGAAGGGUAAAAUCCUAAAUUGGUACACUCAUUAACUAUCAUAUGUCAUUUAACUCAGUAAUUUAAUAGUACAAUUUAAGGGAAAUUAACGGAGGGUCAAUUUGUCAUAGGUGUAUCGGUAUGAGAUUUUUGAUAGCAAAUGUAGGAGUUUUACAUGGUAUUAAACUCUAUUGCAUAUGAUCAAAAGUCCUAGUUUCUACUAUUUUUGUCGACACAAUACCUUAAAAAACCUCAAACUUAAGCUCUGAUCCUAAUUCUAUCUUUUGUGUUAUAAGACCUCCAACUUUAGAUCAUGUCCCAAUUCCACCCUAACAUACAUAUUUUAGAAAACCCCAUAUUUUAGUUAUAGUCCCAAUCUUAUCUAAACAUCUGUUAUCUCAUAAAAUCCCUCAAAUUUAGGUCAAGUACCAAUUCCAACCUAAACGUUAUUUUGUCUUAUAAAAAGAAUCCUAGCUUUAGGUCCAAUUUCAUUUUCACUUUUUUUUUUUAUCUCAUAAAAGAUUACCAACUUUUACUUGAGUCCCAAAUCCACUCUCCAUUAACCCUCCAUCAAAAUUGCCCUUAGUGAUUUUGUGCUCGGUUUUUGAUCUCGCGUGCUUGGAAAUAUUUCAUUUCUCUUGAACAACUUGUGCUUGAGGGUUUUCCAUCUCUCGAUGUCAGCAGGAAAUUUUGCACGAAGGGUUAAUGGUGGCAAAUAUGCGACUCAAGUAAAAAUUUAUAGUUUUUUCAUCAGACUAUAAAAAUUUUACGGUAAUAUUGAGAGUGGAUAGGCUUUUCAUAAGACAAGAAAAGGUUUAAGGUAGAAUUAGUAUAUUAUUUAAAAUUGAAUUGUGAAUGGCUAUAAAAUUAGUGAUUUUUUUUAUGAGAUAAAAGGUAAAAUUAGGAGAAAAGCUAAAGUUAGAGAGUUUUUUUUAGGGUAUCAAACCUAUUUUUGUCAAUCAUAUGAUGUCAACAUUAUCUUUGUUUUUGUUUUUCUUUCAAUUGUCCAUUUGGUCGGUUCUUUUCUAUUCUUAUUCUCAAACUUUUGCCUUGACUCAUUACAAGUGUGAGAAUUGAAACCACAUUUGAUACUAUAUUGUCCCCCGGUAGGCAUUCAAAACCCCCAUCUCCCGCUUCUCAUGUAAGUUAUGAAUGGAGCCUUCGUGUCGUGUCCGACACGCUCGAAGAUGCGGUCAAUACGUGUUCGAAAUCCGACACGUGAACAAUUCUUAUUGACACAUUCUAACACACAAGUCCGAGAGAGAGGAUCGUUGAAGAAAACAAUGGCAAGGGAGCGAAGGCAACGGCAAGGCCACGACGGUGAGAGAGGGCUAGAGGAAGAGUAGAGACCGAGAUGACCUAAAGAGAGGAUCGUGACUGCAAUGGAGGGCCGGUGGCGAGACUGCACCUAUGUAGGAGGAAGGGUUGGAGGUGAGGCGGCAAGCGAUUAUGACAAGGCAAUCAAGAGAGAGAAGAGAUUGAGAGGUGGAUGGUCGUGCGAGGAGGAGGGGAAGGCCAGGGCUAGGGUUUUUGAAGGGGGAAAAUCAAAAAAUUAAAAACAUGAUUUUGAUGGGACAUUAGGGUUGUGCAAGGAGGAGGGGAAGGCCAGGGCUAGGGUUUUUGAAGGGGAAAACUCAAAAAAAUUAAAAACAUGAUUUUGAUGGGACAUUGCUGUGAUUUCUCCUUUAUGGAGAGGGGGAGCGUGUCGGGAGGUGGAGGGGGAGGGCAGAUAAAUGAGGGAAAGAUGAGUGAAAUAAGUUUGUUGGGGGCACAAAAGGAGGGGUUGGUAGGACCUGAGCAAGUCCUUAGACUGCUCCGUCUGGUCGGAAAUAGCCCACGGACGUAAAAUGUGGGCAAUGUUAAUCGUGGGAGAUCAGACCACCCUGUGUAAGGAUCUCCUGGCUCAGAUUCCCGCGAUGCCUUUCUCCUAACAUAUUAGGCUGGGUACAGGAAAAUGAUGAGUGAAAUAAGUUUGUUGGGGGGGGGGGGCACAAAAGGAGGGGUUGGUAAGGGUUGGCAUGGACCCCAUGGAUUUUUAUUUUUUUUUAAUCAAAAAAAUAAAUAAGGAAGGCCAGAAAGUGGGGGAAGAAACUAUGGAAAGAGAGUGAAGUAAAUGUGGGGGUGAGGGUUGGGGUGGACCACGGGGGUCUUUUCUUAUCAGAAAAAUAAAUAAGAAAAACUAUAAGGUGAUUUCGGAAAAUGAAAGUGUUGAAUGUUGAAUAAUAAUAAAAUUUGAUAAUUGUAAAAGAUUAUAGAUUUAUUUAAAUAAGUUAAUUCUAAUUUUUCUUAAUCAUUAGUUUUAUCAAUAAUUUUUGUUAGAGUUAGAAAUAUGUUCGUAUGGAUGCUAUAUGGCAUAUGGAAAGGGUGGCCUCACUUCUGGCGUUUCAUGUAUGGAAAGAGUGAUUAUUAAUGGCGCAUUUGGUAACGUUUUUGUUUCGGAGGACAAUUUUUGAAUAGAAAUAGUUUUUUUUUUUGUUCUAGGGAAUAAUUUUUGAGUAUAAGAAUGUGUUUGGUAACUGCAAACAAUUUCUACUCUAAAAAUAGAAACGCGCUUGGUAAACUUGUAUAAUUUCUUUGUUUCUUUUAAUUUUUUAAUAUUUUUAAUAUUUUUUUUCUUUUUUUCUUUUUUCUUUUUCUCUUUGGUCGGUUGCUGGCUAUGGCGAUGUCCGUUGAGCCUUGUCCAGGCAACGCGAGGUUCGCCUCGUGCCGAUUGGGGAGGUCAAGGCCUCUUGGCUUUGUCUGGGCUAAGCGAGGUUGACCUUGCCCAGCCACCGGCGAGACUCGGCCUCGCUGGGCCACCGCUAGGCGACUCUGUCCUGGAGGUGGCUCGGCGAGGUCGAGCCUCAUGCGGCCAUGGCGAGGCUCGGCCUCUCUGGGGGCUAGCGACACUCCGGCGAGGUCGUCGGCUCUCGUCUAGCCAGUUGCCGGUGUCAACUAUGGCUAAGGCUGAUGACNNNNNNNNNNNNNNNNNNNNNNNNNNNNNNNNNNNNNNNNNNNNNNNNNNNNNNNNNNNNNNNNNNNNNNNNNNNNNNNNNNNNNNNNNNNNNNNNNNNNCGUCUGGUCGAAAACAGCCCAUGGACGUAAAAUGUGGGCAAUGUUAAUCGCGGGAGAUCGGACCACCCUGUGUAAGGAUCUCUCGGUUCAGAUUCCCGCGAUGCCCUUCUCCUAACGUAUUAGACUGGGUACAGGAAAAUGACGAGUGAAAUAAGUUUGCUGGGGGCACAAAAGGAGGGGUUGGUAAGGGUUGGCAUGGACCCCAUGGACUUUUAUUUUUUUAUCAGAAAAAUAAAUAAGGAAGGCUAGAAAGUGGGGGAAGAAACUAUGGAAAGAGAGUGAAGUAAAUGUGGGGGUGAGGGUUGGGGUGGACCACGGGGGUCUUUUCUUAUCAGAAAAAUAAAUAAGAAAAACUAUAAGGUGAUUUCGGAAAAUGAAAGUGUUGAAUGUUGAAUAAUAAUAAAAUUUGAUAAUUGUAAAAGAUUAUAGAUUUAUUUAAAUAAGUUAAUUCUAAUUUUUCUUAAUCAUUAGUUUUAUCAAUAAUUUUUGUUAGAGUUAGAAAUAUGUUCGUAUGGAUGCUAUAUGGCAUAUGGAAAGGGUGGCCUCACUUCUGGCGUUUCAUGUAUGGAAAGAGUGAUUAUUAAUGGCGCAUUUGGUAACGUUUUUGUUUCGGAGGACAAUUUUUGAAUAGAAAUAGUUUUUUUUUUUGUUCUAGGGAAUAAUUUUUGAGUAUAAGAAUGUGUUUGGUAACUGCAAACAAUUUCUACUCUAAAAAUAGAAACGCGCUUGGUAAACUUGUAUAAUUUCUUUGUUUCUUUUAAUUUUUUAAUAUUUUUAAUAUUUUUUUUCUUUUUUUCUUUUUUCUUUUUCUCUUUGGUCGGUUGCUGGCUAUGGCGAUGUCCGUUGAGCCUUGUCCAGGCAACGCGAGGUUCGCCUCGUGCCGAUUGGGGAGGUCAAGGCCUCUUGGCUUUGUCUGGGCUAAGCGAGGUUGACCUUGCCCAGCCACCGGCGAGACUCGGCCUCGCUGGGCCACCGCUAGGCGACUCUGUCCUGGAGGUGGCUCGGCGAGGUCGAGCCUCAUGCGGCCAUGGCGAGGCUCGGCCUCUCUGGGGGCUAGCGACACUCCGGCGAGGUCGUCGGCUCUCGUCUAGCCAGUUGCCGGUGUCAACUAUGGCUAAGGCUGAUGACUGGCAAAAGGAAGAAGAAGAAGAAGAAGAAGAAGAAAAGAAAGAGAAAAUAGAAGAAGAAAAAUGAUAAGAAAAAAAAGUGUUUUUCGAAAGUGUUCUCGAGAAUAAGAAAUAAGUUUUUUUUUUUAAUUUCUUAUUUUUGUUCCAAAGUUGCUCUCACAAUAAAAAAAAAAGACCAGAAUAAAAGUAUAAACAAAUGAGUUUCUAUUCUUUUUUGGUUCUCUGGAACAAAAUAAUAAAAAUUUAUAUUCCAGGAAAAAAAAAUAAUUUUAAACGAACACACCCUAAGAUAUCUUUUGUAUUCCGGGGAAGUAGUUCAAUUGACGUGAGCCCGUGCGUCUUCCCUACAUGGGAAGGGUCGUCACUGGGUCUCAUCUGACCUAAGCAAGUGCGUCUUCACAGCUUUUACCGCUCCCCUCCUACACUUCGUAGCUACCGCCACUCCCCUCCUAUAAAUCUCGGCUCGCCCGACGCCUUCGCCAUCGUCUCGGUGCAGUGCAGGGAACGAGCGAGCUCGAGCUAGACGACGGCAAUGGCGGCUUCGACGACGACGGUGAGGAGGAUCAAGCUGGGGUCGCAGGGCCUCGAGGUGUCGGUGCAGGGGCUGGGCUGCAUGGGCAUGUCCGCCUUCUACGGCCCUCCCAAGUCCGACACCGACAUGAUCGCCCUGAUCCACCACGCCGUUGGCUCCGGCGUCACCUUCCUCGACACCUCCGACAUCUACGGCCCCCACACCAACGAAACCCUCCUCGGAAAGGUCGGUUCUCUCUCAGUCUCUGUUUUGCCUCCGCAUGAAUUAUAUGUGCUUAUAGUGUUACGGAAUUUAGCUUCAUCGAGCAGAGUGCUCUGAUCCUGCGCCUUGGUUUUCUGAUUUCGGGGUUGAUUUUGAGCAGGCACUGAAGGGAGGGGUGAGGCAGAAGGUGGAAUUGGCGACCAAGUUCGGAAUCAGCUUCGCGGACGGGAAGAGGGAGGUCCGGGGCGAUCCGGCGUACGUGAGGGCGGCUUGCGAGGCCAGCUUGAAGCGGCUUGACAUCGAUUGCAUCGACCUCUACUACCAACAUCGCAUCGACACUCGCGUCCCCAUCGAAGUCACUGUAUGGAUCCCCCAUCAAACUUUCACCUCGCUUGAGACUUUCUCCGAGCCAUAUGAUUAGUUGCUAAGUUAGAUUGGUGUUGAUGAUGCAUCGUCAUGUUGUUACAAGUUUGUUGAAAUUUGUUAAAUGACACUUAAGUUCGGCUGAUAGCAGAGUUCAAGAUGCGGCACGUUGUUGUUCAAGGGGUUGUGGAAUUUAGUAGUUUAGUGGCUUGAGUUUUCGUUUUGUGGGCAUCUUUUACAAGUUAAGGGUCAACAAGCAUGAAAAUUAUUCAAAAUCUUCCUUUGAGAUGAAAGUGCUCCAGGGUUCAUCCAGAAUUUAUAUACGGGAAUCACAUAUAAAGUUGUUCCUGGACUUUAUGUGGAGACAUUUGAUUCUUGACAUAUUGUGAAAUAUGACAAGUACUUGGAAUACUUCUUUUAUUUGCUCUCUUCUGUGAGAGAUUCAAGAAAUCAACCUCCGUUAACUCAAUACCUUGUGACUUUUUUGUCGCAUUGAGAUGCAUGAUAAUAGAGGGAUCUAGACGCAUAAAAAGCUAAUGACAUGCAUAAUUUUCUGGAUCUUAACAUGUAAGAUCUUGAUGUUGUUGUUCUGUCAUGUGAAUAUGCACAGAUCGGAGAGCUAAAGAAGCUCGUUGAAGAAGGUAAGAUAAAGUACAUCGGUUUAUCCGAGGCCUCUGCAUCAACAAUCAGAAGAGCACAUGCUGUUCAUCCCAUCACAGCAGUGCAAUUGGAGUGGUCGCUUUGGUCAAGAGAUGUGGAGGCAGAGAUCGUUCCAACGUGCAGGUAGGAUAUCACUCUGUUAAUUGUUUAUGCAGCAACAACAGCUUCCUUCUGACUCUGCUUUUCCUUUAAAAUGCUGACUAGGGAGCUUGGCAUUGGAAUUGUUGCCUACAGUCCUUUAGGACGAGGAUUCUUUUCUGUUGGCUCCAAGUUGGUGGAGAAUAUCUCUAAGGAUGACUUCAGACAGGUCUGUUCCUGCUUGUCAACAUAAUUAGAUGUUUACAUUGACUGUCAUUCUUAUUGAAGUGCUGGAAACCUGUUCUUGUGGUAUAAAGAAAAAGUAUCUGGAUGGGAUGAAUAAAACUUGGUGACACGAAUGCUUCGUGUUCUUAUAUGUCUUUAAUCCAGCACUUGCCAGACAUCCCACCUCUCUUGAUUCUAGAUAAAUGUAAAAUCACAAGUAACGGCUUUAAUGAGCCUGAAAGAGGCAGUUUCCUGGAUUCUCGUGCUUUUGGGAAUGAAUACAUAUAGGUUUAUAUGUAAGUUGCUCUGUUUCCCAGCCUUCCCAACAUUUGCUUAUCACUAUCCUUUCCCCACUUUCCACCCACCCUUUUUCUCUCAUCUUUCUUCACAAGAAUAGCGAUAUUUCCUCGAAAUAACUGACGCCAGUAUCGGGCUUUGGCCCUCCGUCCUUUUUCAUUCUCAUCUUUCUUCACAAGAUAAACUAUAUCUUGACACAACCAUUUCUUGAGCGCGGACUCCCGACACCCUUCUUAUGAGAGUUUUGGAUCAAGUUCCCAUCUGACAUAAAGCCAAUUGUGUAUUACUCCCCGCCAUUAGCGUUUGACUAGCGAUAGUGCUGGGCAAGUGAAGUAGCUAUUUUUCUUUGUAGCUAAAAGAGCUCUGCGUCUGAUAACAUUCUUCUACUCAUCAUCUACAUUUCUGAUUUUUUAUUUUAUGUGACUAAUGGUAUCAUCACACGUACAAAACUUAGAUUGUCGAGUUUGUUUCUGUUUUCACAUCCUACAUCAAGCCCAUCAGCCUUGUGUGGUAGUUGCUAGAUCACUUCGCUUGACGUUUCUAAUGCUUAUGAUUUGGGACAUGAUAUUUUAAUCAUUUCAAGAUAAUUUAUAACUGAUCAUGCUUUUUCAGAUACACAACGAUUGCACACUUCUAAAUGCUUAUUAUGUCAAGUAACAAGACAAUCCGAUGGCAUGCAAUGCAACCACUUUUGCACUUGUUGCUGUAGAAUUUAGCCUUAAGAGGAAAAUGAUAAUUUCUCAUAUGCUCUCUGCUGAGACAUUGCUCUAUGUUAUGCAGUAUCUACCAAGGUUCCGGCCAGAGAACUUGGCUCACAACACGAAGUUAUUUGACCGAGUGAAUGAAAUUGCGCAAAGAAAGGGAUGCACCACAUCGCAGUUAGCCCUGGCCUGGGUACACCACCAGGGUGACGACAUUUGCCCGAUUCCCGGCACAACCAAGAUCGAGAAUUUCAACCAGAACAUUGGAGCUCUGUCAGUGAAGCUUACACCGGAAGAGAUGGCCGAGCUUGAAUCGAUUGCUUCUGCGGACAAUGUCAAGGGUGGCAGGUACGAUGGAAGCAUGUCUACAUGGGAAAACUCCGACACUCCACCCCUUUCUUCUUGGAAACCUGCCUAGAAGCGUGUCUGCUUCUGUUGCUGCAUCUUUGAUGUGCAGAGGUUGAGCAUUUGCCGCUGAAGUAAUUUGAGUUUAUGUUGUGUGGCUGUUAUAAGUAUGUGUAAUAAGAGAGUGACUGUUUUCAUUUUGUACAUGUGACAUUCACUAUGAUAAGAUUAUGGAUGUGUACUAACCUUACUGGGGAAAGAUCACUCGAUAAACACGAGAGCGAGUUGAAUACGAACUGAGCCUGCCGUGUCGACUUUAUUGGGGUGACUUUUAGAAUCUGAGAAAUCGGGAUUUUGAAGAAUUCAAACUCAGUCGUACAUACUAGAGUGGUAUUCUCCACCAACCAUGAGUUCAAUCUCUUAAGACUGGAUGCUGCACAUAGAUGCAAAGCUUCGCUUUGUGUUUGGUUUGGUAGCGAAGUUAAGGAACAGUAAAAUGUUACCGGAUGUUCUCGCGAAAACGAAGUUGGGGAUAAAAUGCUGGCGCGGAUGAUAUGAGCGUCGGGGAAAUCGAGGGUUUCUUGUUCAAGUUUCACCACCUACGGUUCAUGAGCUUUUAUGUAGCUCGAUACCUUCGCUCAAUGCCUCUGCAUUAUUAUAAAACAGUCGGAGAUAUUGCGCAAGUUUCCUAAAAUUAAAAACGACACUUCUAUUGUUUUUUAUUUGGAGUUAGAGUGGUGCAAUGUUGUUUUGUUUUGGUUUAGGAAAAUAACGCAAAUAGUCACUACACUUUGGUCCAAUGUGUUAUGUUCUUACUGAAUUUUUAACUUGUUUAAUAUGGUUGUCGAGCUUUUUGUAUAUGUUUAAUUUAAAUCCUAGGCUAGAUAAAUCCAAUGAUGCCGUGUUUGGUCGGUUCGAAGAUCGUUGCUAUAUGGGAUAAUGAUAGGAUAAAAAUCCCAUCUAAUAUUUCUUGACGUCUGGAUAUAACAUGAUUCAAAUAAUUUUUUUUUUAAACGAGUGUUUGAUUUGUAUAAUUAAAAUUAAAAAUAAACCAUGGAAGUCGUGAAUACUAUUCAUCCUUUCACAAUCUUCAUCCAUAUCAAGCACCCCCGUUCCAUGUGACUUCAAGGACGCUCGCUCCUUCUGCAACACCCCUUUCGCUGCCCUUGAUCAACUUGAUGGAUUACGCUCGCUCUGCCUUUUGACUUCGCCACAUUGAGAGGCCCUUGGGUUUGAGUUCUCCGCUGGUCUAGCCAUCUUUAUUUUCAACGCCUUUUCCUGCGAUGAAUCCAUCCCCCUCGACGAGUGUGAAUGCCGCGUUGAUUCCCUGUUACCGUGCUCCGACUUGUUCAGUCGCUUCAACAGCUUCCCCCGAGACAGCGUGCGGAUCCGGUUUAUGAGUGGUAGCAGCAUCGGUACUACUCGCUCCGAGUGACGUGGUUGAGGAGCUCUAUCACCUUGGCUGCCGCCUCUUUCGGAUCAUCUUCUUCACAGAGGAGGUGUCCAGCUUUGAUCGGGAUCACAAAUUUCCCUACUAAAAUGAAGUUGAGUGACACAAGAAAGAGGCAGGGCUGACGAGCUCCGCGAUACUCAUGCUCAUGCUCUAAUUUUGUGGUGGUCAUUUUAGCGAGACAAAUUGGAACAAGAGAGAGAUGAUGGUGGCACUGGUCAAAAGCGAGGAUAAGCUAUAAAAAGCGCCCCGCCGCCCGGGGGGGGGGGGGGGGGGGGGGGGGGGGUCAGUUUUUCAAAUUUCACAUAUUUUAUCUGGAUUUAUAUCACUUUCUAGAUGUGAUUUUUUAUCCGUGCUAUAUCCUAAUUUCACAUUACUCUAGACACCAUAUAGGAUUAAACUUAUCAUAUUAGAGUUUUAUCCAGCCCUUCAAAUGCAGUCUUAUGAGAUAGAAUGCAAUGAUAUAAUCUGUGAACUAAAUUUAAACAUUUAUUAAAAGUUUACGAACGGAAUUUCACAUUUUGAUUGUUAAGAUGCAUGAGUGAGUUAUGUUAAAAUAAUCACACAAUAUAUUGAUAGCUUUAAAAAUGGGCUUUCUCUUGGUGAUGACGUUGAUCCAUAUAGAGAAAUUAAUGAGAGGGUUUAUUUGGCCUAACUAAAUGGGAGGCUAUAUCAAUGGGAGGUUUUUCAUUGUAACAUUCCCUUGUGCUUGGAAUUUGUUUUUUAGUAAAGGAUUUUAUUAGCGUAAUAAUAGUCUUUGGGUUAUUAUGUGAAUAACAAUUUAUUGUGAGUCACAAAUUUUUUAAAGUAAUGAACCCCAUAAUAAUUUCAAUUAUUUGUUACUUGAUUUUUUGUAGUUUAGAAUAAAAAUUAUCACCAAGUUAUUUCUUUUUAACAAAUAUAUUGCUCUAACUGUUGUUUUCAAUUAAGUUUGCAUCGGAGAAGAGAUUAUUUUGUUUUGCUACGCUUGUCGGAUAUUGCACAGGAUAUUGUCAUUUUCUUAGCACUAGCAACGUUGCGUUCAGACAAGGCGGCAUGGAAUUAUUUGCUCAGCUGCACAUCACACGACCAUACAUUCAUGGACUGUUCCUCAGGAAAGCAUAUAGACAUGUGGCAGAUGCAGAACAUUUCACGAGAUUAAAAAAAAGAAAAUAAUUUUUAAAAAACAAUACUUUCGACUUCAAAACGUGCCAAUCGAACGCCUGCUACUCCCGCCUAUAAAGCUCGGCUCACCCAACGGCUUCGUUGUCGUCUCGAACUGUCCAUUCUCCAUUCUCUGUUCUUGCAUCGACCUCGAGCUAGACGAUGGUGGCAAUGGCGUCGUCAGACGGUGAGGAGGAUCAAGUUGGGGUCGUAGGGUCUCAAGGUCUCGGCGCAGGGGCUGGGCUUGCAUGGGCAUGUUGGAAGAUAUGCGGAUUGCCUGAUUUGAUUUGAUCUUAAUUGAUCAUGAUUAAUCACGAUCUUCAUGUAUAUGUAAAUUAAAAAUUAGAUCUAGAUCUCGAUUGAUAAUCCAGAUCAUUUACUUCCUUAUUCAAGAUAGAGCUUGUAUUAUAUCUCUGCAAAAUUGUACAUUCAGAUUGUAAUAGUGAUAAUACAGAAAAAUCUCCCCACAUCGAUUCCCAUUUUCCUCUCCAAACUUCAUCCGUUCUUCCUUCACUCUUGCCUUCUUUCAUGGUAUCAGAGCAGCUUUGAUCUCUGACUCGCUUCCGUUCCAAACCACUGCUGAAGAAAAUUCUCAACCUGCAAAAGGGUUGAUCUUUCGGCAUUAGGCAUACUCUCGAAGGAAGAAAUUUAAAUUAUCUUACUAUGGCCUCUCCGCAGGACUCCAGUCUGGCUGCUGACGACAGGACCACCGAAGAAAGUAGUCCUCAAGCUCCACAGAUCCAGAAUCUCCCUGCAGUAAUACCAGUAUCCACCCAACCCCAGCAGUGGCGGCCCACGCAGGCUCAGUUUCAAUUGGGGCAACCCACGACGGGUCAACCAUACUAGUGGAUCCCCUAUCCACUCUAUUUUGGGCCAAGCCCAAAUUUCUCAUCGCCUUUUUUCGUGGGCCACCAGAAUCACAAUGGAGGCCCGCCAGCCACGAAUGGGGCAAGCCCAUCCAUCGCGAGAGAGCAGACGGGCGGUUCAAGCGAAUCGGGUACGGGGCAUAAUCCCUACCCGGGACAUGUCAAUGCGGGGUAUCUAGUUGGAUUGAGCGAAUCGGGUCAAGGGACGAAUCCCUACCCGAAUUUCGCACCGGGUUUUCUGUCCAUUCCAGCGGCGGCGUUCACUGGGCGACUAGAAAUAGGCGAUCCUCUGUUUGUCUCCACCGCUGACGGAUCGGAGCUUUGACUGAUAAACCAGCAACUAACCGGACUAGAGACCUAUUCGAAGUGGUCACAGGAGCUCCGGCGGGCAUUGGUGACAAAAGACAAAGACGGAUUUCUCGAUGGGACAAUUUCCAUCCCCUCCGAUGAACGCCUAGCCGGACACUGGCGGAAAUGCAAUCAACUCGUCCGAAUGUGGAUCAGAAAUUGCAUAUCCCCAGAAGUCAUGGCUGGGCUUCCACCCACAGAGGAUGCCAAAACCAUGUGGGAAAACAUUCGAGAAAUAUACGGUAAAAUGGAUCAAGCAAAAGUUUUUAAUCUUAUGCAGGAAAUUAGCGAACUCAAACAGGGAAAUUCGACGGUCACGGCCUGCUUCAACAGGCUAUCGUCCCUCCUGAAUCAACUCGAAGCAGUAGAAGAAAAGCUCGAAGGGCCAGAAUCUACCCUCAAGCAGUACAAACAAAUCAAAGAGAGAGAAAAAGCCACGCGAUUCUUGCUGAUUUUAAACGAAUCGUACCUCACGUUUCGGUCACAGAUCCUUGUCAUGGAUCCCAUGCCACCGAUCGGACGUAUUUACAAACUGGCGAUGCAGGAGGAGAGUCAGCGACUCACAAUCACGAACAACGGUGAGAGCAUCGCUCUGGCUGCCCGCGGAGAGGGGAGAACCCUAACCCUAGCUCGUGAAAAUGAAAAGAAAAGCCCUUUAGGGUUCGACGAGCUCGAUUCGCGCGGGCUUAAAAGGGAUGGGAUGAACGGCCAGGAUUACAUGCAAGGAUCGAGCGGCUUAGAUUACUCCCGAAAAUAUGACGGCCCAGAUUACGCAUGGAGAUCCGACGGUCGUCAAGGAAUCGAAAUUGCGCCUGGAUUGGACGGUGGACAGCAGAUCGCGAUCAAAGGAACGGACGGCCAGAUCUUCACCACGUCAUCAAAGAAUUUCGCAAAUUUUUUUAAAGGAAAGGGGUAAAUUUUUUUGCGAUUAUUGCAAACGUACUAAUCAUACCAUUGACAGUUGCUGGAAAUUACACGGGAAGCCGGGAGAAAAGGAGAAAAAAAUUUCCACAGCUUAUCAAGUCACUGGACCAGCUGGUCCAAAAAUUGACCAGCCAAUCUCAUAUGGUCAAUAUCAGCAACUCAUGCAAAAACUACAGAAGAUGGAAAUUUCCAACAAAGGGGGCAAUUUCUCAGGUAUUUCACAUUGCCUAAUUAAUUCCAUUUCCAGGAAGGCGUGGAUUAUAAUUCUGGGGCAAGUGACCAUAUUAUACGCGACAAGGGAUUUUUUUUUCAAAUAUAAAUGAAAGUUUGAAUUUUCCUGUCUCCGUACAAUUACCCAACGGAAAUGUUACUCAUGUCAAAGUGAUAGGAACAGUGAAUCUCAGUCCUCAGAUUAUUCUCUAGAAUGUGCUAUAUGUCCCAGAAUUCCAAUUCAACCUCAUAUCUGUGUCUCAAGUCUGCAAAGAGAACUCAUGCCGGGUAAUAUUCAAUGCUGACACAUGUUUAUUUCAGGCCCUUUCGACUGGAAGACAGAUGGACUUGGGUAAUCUUUCUGAAGGACUCUAUUUCUGGACGAGUUUUCCAAGUAAUUUCAAUUUUCCAUGCAAUUCCUUGAAUAAAAAAUCAUUGUGUAAUUCAACUGCCAAUGAUAGAAAUUUGACUAUGCAUAUGAGAUUGGGUCACAGUGCUUCAUUUUCAUAUCAUGAAUGUCUUAUAUGUCCCCUUGCAAAGCAAUCUCGCACACCAUUUUCUUCUAGUACUUCACGGACUAGUCAAAUAUUUGCAUUACUUCACGUGGACAUUUGGGGACCUUAUCAUACAGUCAAUCAUGAUGGCUCCCGUUAUUUUCUUACGAUAGUAGAUGACUAUUCUCGGGCAACAUGGAUCUUCCUAAUACAAUAAAAAAAUUAGGUCUAUUCUCACCUGAAAAAUUUCAUUAUGCUAUCUAAGAACCAAUUCAGGAAAUCCAUUCAGCGGAUUCGCACAGAUAACGGGAGAGAAUUCUUCAGUCAUGAAUGCUCCCAGUUAUUCAAUUCUCAUGGUAUUCGACACGAAAGUUCCUGCAUUUACUCACCACAACAAAAUGGAGUGGUUGAAAGAAAGCAUCGCCAUCUACUGGAAGUGGCUCGUGCCUUGAAAUUUCAAGCAUCAAUUCCAGAAAGAUAUUGGGGUGACUGUGUCACCAUAGCAGCUUAUCUUAUUAAUAGAAUGCCUACUCGGAUUCUUAAUGGACAGAUGCCAUUCGAGCUGUUAUUUGGGAAGAAACCGGACUUGAAUCAUCUCAAGAUCUUCGGAUGUCUCUGCUAUGCUGCAAUCAUGGGGCCUCGAGAUAAAAUGAGCCCAUGUGCGCGGCGAUGCGUCUUUAUGGGAUAUCCCAAUCUCCAGAAGGGGUAUCGGGUGCUUGAGAUUUCCACAGGAGAAUUCAUAGUAAGUCAUGAUGUCAUUUUCCAUGAAACUACUUUUCCAUUUUAUGAAGGGGAAUCUUCACAUGGAGAUCCAAAGAUAACUUCCAGCCAUCAUAAUUUUCUCAAUGAUGAAGCACCAUACCGGGAUCUUUCCUAUGUACCAAUAGUACAGCCGAGGGAUCCUAUUCUUCCUACAGUCCCAGUUCUACAAGAUUCUAAUGGAAAUUCGAAUUCUUCAGAACAUAUUCAGGGAGAUAUCUUGGAGGAACCCAUUGCUGAUGCAGAAGUUGAUGACACUACAACAACUUCAUUACCAGCAACAUCACAGCCCACCACCGAAGCUGGACAUCCUAGGAGGUCUGAACGAGCUACAAGACCACCAACCCGGACGAAAGAUUAUGUCUGUACUACUCACAACUCUCCAAGUAUUCAGUAUCCAGUCUCUUCAUAUGUUUCCUUUGAUAGAUUGUCUCAAGAACAUAGAUGUUGUAUUAGUCGAUUGUUUGAAGAGAAAGAACCGUCCAGUUAUAAAGAAGCCUCCAAUAACCCAAAAUGGCAAGAGACCAUGAAGGCAGAAUUGAAGGCCCUUACUGAUAAUCAUACAUGGGAUCUUGUUCCAUUACCAGCUCAUCGUAAACCAAUUGGAUGCAAAUGGGUUUACAAAAUCAAGUAUCGGGCUGAUGGCUCCAUUGAACGGUACAAGGCAAGAUUGGUAGCUAAGGGGUUCACCCAAAGAGAAGGUUUUGACUACCACGAGACGUUCUCACCAGUUGCCAAAGAUGUUACAGUCCGUUCAUUCUUAGCUGUUGCUGCCAUCAAUGACUGGCACCUACACCAGAUGGAUGUCCAUAAUGCUUUUCUCCAUGGCAAUCUAGAUGAAGAGAUCUACAUGAAUAUUCCUCAAGGCAUACAGAGACAGGGGGAUAAUAAGGUGUGUCGUCUCCGUAAAUCCCUUUAUGGAUUAAAACAGGCAUCCGGACAAUGGUAUGCUAAAUUUGCCAGUGCUCUUACAACAGCAGGCUUCAAGCAAUCCAAGCAUGAUUAUGCUCUGUUCUAAAAAACUAAAGGUAUGUCAUCUAUCUAUUUGAUGAUUUAUGUCGAUGACAUACUUGUUAUGGGAAAUGAUAGAGCCUCUAUAGAGAAUUUCAAGGAAUAUUUGCAUGCUACCUUCCAUAUUAAAGACUUAGGAGCACCAAAAUAUUUCCUUGGAAUCGAAGUUGCUCGAUCUGACAAGGGAAUUUCCCUUAGUCAGCGGAAGUUCAUUCUAGAAAUCAUAUCAGAAGUAGGUCUAUUAGGAUGCAAGCUAGCUGUAAUUCCUAUAGAGCAAAACACUAAGUUGACCAUCGCAGACUAUGAUAAGGGAAUAUUUCGAAAUGAUGAUUCCUUACUCAGUGAUCCGUCAGGCUAUCAAAGACUUGUUGGGAAACUUAUAUACCUGACAAUGACUAGACCUGAUAUCUUAUAUGCGGUUCAGACACUUAGCCAGUUUAUGCAUCAACCAAAGCGUUCUCAUUUGGAUGCAGCCUUAAAGGUCGUUAAAUAUCUCAAGAAAUGUCCGGGGCUAGGGAUACUUCUCUCUAAGGAAUGUGACAUGAGGAUGACAGCAUAUUGUGAUGCAGACUAUGCAACAUGUCCGAUUAGUCGAAGAUCUGUUACUGGAUAUUGCAUUAAAUUGGGAGGAUCUCUUCUAUCUUGGAAAACCAAGAAACAAGCUACUGUGUCUCUGUCCUCAGCCGAAGCAGAAUAUCGAGCUGUGGCCAAGGCCACUUGUCAAGUAGUUUGGAUGCGAGGAUUACUCAAGGAUCUUGGAGUAGAAGUGCAAGGACCCACAAGGUUAUAUUGUGAUAAUGAUACAGCUCUUAAACUUGCAACUAAUCCUAUAGUACAUGAAAGAACCAAGCAUAUAGAAGUGGAUUGUCACUUCACACGGGAAAAGAUCCAGGAAGGAGUAAUUGAGACGAGGAAUUUGGACAACGGAGCAACCAGUAGACUUGUUCACCAAGCCCCUAUGUCAGAGGCAACAUGCAUAUCUAUUAAAAAAGCUAGGCGUCUUGGACAUCUACAAGCCACCAGCUUGAGGGGGAGUGUUGGAAGAUAUGUGGAUUGCCUGAUUUGAUUUGAUCUUAAUUGAUCAUGAUUAAUCACGAUCUUCAUGUAUAUGUAAAUUAAAAAUUAGAUCUAGAUCUAGAUUGAUAGUCUAGAUCAUUUACUUCCUUAUUCAAGAUAGAGCUUGUAUUAUAUCUCUGCAGAAUUGUACAUUCAGAUUGUAAUAGUGAUAAUACAGAAAAAUCUCCCCACAUCGAUUCCCAUUUUCCUCUCUAAACUUCAUCCGUUCUUCCUUCACUCUUGCCUUCUUUCAGGGCAUAUCUACUUUGCCGGCCCUCCCAAGCCCAACCCCGACACGAUCGAGCUUGUCCACCACGCCGUUGAAUCUGGCGUUGCCUUCCUCGACACCUCCGACAUCUAUGGCCUUAACGCCAAGGAAGUCCUCCUUGGAAAGGUCGGUAUUUAUUUUGUAGAUAUAAUUGAAGAUCUUGAUCGUGACGCCAAUCCUAAUUGCGGACUAAUUGAUUUGGUCAAUUUGUGAUUGUUUAGUGAAUAUGGAAAUUUUUGUAAUUCUUUAUAUAUUAUUUCAUUUUUUCUCUUUCAUUCUUACACUAUAAAUAGACCAAUGAACUAAUAUACAGAUCAAUCAAUAUACAACAAAAUUUUCUUCAUUUUCUCUUUUGUUUUCUAUUAUGUUAUCAGUGUCAUUCUUCCUCGCCUAGCUUCCCAUAUCUUAGAGUUGCCUUUCUUUUUUUCUUUGUUUUUUUUUUUUUUUUGGUUAUUGCAAGUCCUCAUCCUGCAAUACAAAUCAGCAAAUCGAUUAGGAAUUCAAUUUUUUUUUUCAAUACCAAGGCAAAAAAUAAGAACACUGAGAGCUCCAUGAUAGAGGAGACACCUACCUCACCUCAAAAUCAAGCCCCAUCGCCGUCGGAUUCGAUUAUGAUUUGGGACAAUAUAUUUUAAUCAUUUCGAGAUAAUCUUUAACUGAUCAUGCUCUUCCAGAUACACAGCAAUUGCGCACUUCCAAAUGCUUAUUAUGUCAAGUAACAUGACAAUCUGAUGGCAUGCAACGCAACCAAUUUUGCACUCGUUGAUGUAGAAUUUGGCGUUAAAAGGAAAAUGAUGGUUGCUCGUAUGCUCUCUGCUUAGACAUUGCUUUAUGUUAUGAAGUACCUACCAAGGCUGCGGCCAGAGAACUUGGCUAAUGCAAAGUUAUUCGACCAAGUGAAUGAAAUUGCACAAAGAAAGGGAUGCACCCCAUUGCAGUUAACCCUCGCCUGGGUACACCACUGGAGUGAUGACGUUUGCCCGAUUACCGGCACGAUCAAGAUCGAGAAUUUCAACCAGAACAUUGGAGCUCUGUCAGUGAAGCUUUCGCCAGAAGAGAUGGCCAAGCUCAAAUCGAUUGCUUAUACGGACAAUGUCAGGCGUGAGAAUUAAAACCACAUUUGAUACUAAAUUAUGCCUAGGUAGGAAUUCAAAACUCCACCUCCCGCUUUUCAUGUGGGAAGGUUGGCCCCACCUCGCGCUUAUGGAAAGAGUAAUCACGAAGACAUCACAAUAGUUCAAUUGACGUGAGCAGGUACGUCUUCCCUACAUGGUAAGGGUCGUCACUGGGCGUGCAAUUGACGUAAGCACGUGCGUCUUCACAGCCACUACCGCUCCCCUCCUACUCAUCGUAGCUUCUGCCACUACCCUCCUAUAAAUCUCGGCUCGCCCGACGACUUCGCCAUCGUCUCGGUGCAGUGCAGGGAACGAUCGAGCUCGAGCUAGACUACGGCAAUGGCGGCAUCGACGACGACGGUGAGGAGGAUCAAGCUGGGGUCGCAGGGCCUGGAGGUGUCGGCGCAGGGGCUGGGCUGCAUGAGCAUGUCCGCCUUCUACGGCCCUCCCAAGUCCGAGCCCGACAUGAUCGCCCUCAUCCACCACGCCGUCGGCUCCGGCGUCACCUUCCUCGACACCUCCGACUUCUACGGUCCUCACACCAACGAAAUCCUCCUCGGAAAGGUCGUUCUCUCAGUCUCUCUUUUGCCUCUGCAUGAAUUAUAUAUGCUUAUGGUUUUACGGAACUUAGCUUCAUCGAGCAGGAUGCUCUGAUCCUGCGCCUUGGUUUUCUGAUUUCGGGGUUGAUUUUGAGCAGGCACUGAAGGGAGGGGUGAGGCAGAAGGUGGAAUUGGCGACCAAGUUCGGAAUCAGAUUGGCGGACGGGAAGAGGGAGAUCCAGGGCGAUCCGGCGUACGUGAGGGCUGCUUGCGAGGCCAGCUUGAAGCGGCUCGACAUCGAUUGCAUCGACCUCUACUACCAGCACCGUAUCGACACUCGCGUCCCCAUUGAAGUCACUGUAUGGAUCCCUUAUCAAACUUUCACCUCGCUUGAGACUUUCUCUGAGCCAUACGAUGCAUCGUCAUGUUGUUACAAGUUUGUUGAAUUUUGUUAAAUGACACUUAAGUUCAGCUGAUAGCAGAGUUCAAGAUGCGGCACGGUGUUGUUCAAGGGUUGUGGAAUUUAGUAGUUUAGUGGCUUGAGUUUUCGUUUUGUGGGAAUCUUUUACAAGUUAAGGGUCAACAAGCAUGGAAAUUAUUCGAAAUCUUCCUUUGAGAUGAAAGUGCUCCGGGGUUCAUCCUGAAUUUAUAUACGGGAAUCACAUAUAAAGUUGUUCCUGGACUUUAUACGGAGACAUUUGAUUCUUGACAUAUUGUGAAAUAUGACAAGUACUUGGAAUACUUCUUUUAUUUGCUCUCUUCUGUGAGAGAUUCAAGAAAUCUACCUCCGUUAACUCAAUUCCUUGUGGGUUUUUUGUCGCAUUGAGAUGCAUGAUAAUUGAGGGAUCUAGACACAAAAAGCUAAUGACAAAAAUAAUUUUCUGGAUCUUAACAUGUAAGAUCUUGAUGUUGUUGUUCUGUCAUGUGAAUAUGCACAGAUCGGAGAGCUAAAGAAGCUCGUUGAAGAGGGUAAGAUAAAGUACAUCGGUUUAUCCGAGGCCUCUGCAUCAACAAUCAGAAGAGCACAUGCUGUUCAUCCCAUCACAGCAGUGCAAUUGGAGUGGUCGCUUUGGUCCAGAGAUGUGGAGGCGGACAUCGUUCCAACGUGCAGGUAGGAUAUCACUCCGUUAAUUGUUUAUGCAGCAACAACAGCUUCCUUCUGACUCUGCUUUUCCUUUAAAAUGUUGACUAGGGAGCUUGGCAUUGGAAUUGUUGCCUACAGUCCUUUAGGACGAGGAUUCUUUUCUGUUGGCUCCAAGUUGGCGGAGAAUUUCUCAAAGGAUGACUUCAGACAGGUCUGUUUCUGCUGGUCGACAUAAUUAGAUGCUCACAGUGACUGUCAUUCUCAUUGAAGUGCUGGAAACCUGUUCUUGUGGUAUAAAGAAAAGUUUCUGGAUGGGAUGAAUAAAACUUGGUGACACAAAUGCAUCACGUUCUUAUAUGUCUUCAAUCCAGCACUCGCCAGACAUACUACCUCUCUCGAUUCUAGAUAAAUGUAAAAUCACAAGUAAUGGCUUUAGUGAGCCUGAAAGAGGUAGGUUCCCGGAUUCUCAUUCUUUUGGGAAUGAAUACAUAUAGGUUUAUAUGUAAGUUGCUCUGUUUCCCAGCCUUCCCAACAUUUGCUUAUCACUAUCCUUUCCCCACUUUCCACCCACCCUUUUUCUCUCAUCUUUCUUCACAAGAUUAGCGAUAUUUCCUCGAAAUAACUGACGCCAGUAUCGGGCUCUGGCCUUCCGUCCUUUUUCAUUCUCAUCUUUCUUCACAAGAUAAACUAUAUCUUGACACAACCAUUUCUUGAGUGAGGACUCACGACACCCUUCUUAUGAGAGUUUUGGAUCAAGUUCCCAUCUGACAUAAAGCCAAUUGUGUAUUACUCCCUGCCAUUAGCGUUUGACUAGCGAUAGCGCUGGGCAAGUGAAGUAGCUAUUUUUCUUUGUAGCUAAAAGAGCUCUGCGUCUGAUAACAUUCUUCUACACAUCAUCUACAUUUCUGAUUUUUUAUUUUAUGUGUGACUAAUGGUAUCAUCACACGUACAAAACUUAGAUUGUCGAGUUUGUUUCUGUUUUCACAUCCUACAUCAAGCCCAUCAGCCUUGUGUGGUAGUUGCUAGAUCACUUCGCUUGACGUUUCUAAUGCUUAUGAUUUGGGACAUGAUAUUUUAAUCAUUUCAAGAUUAUUUAUAACUGAUCAUGCUUAUCCAGAUAGACAACGAUUGCACACUUCUAAAUGCUUAUUAUGUCAAGUAACAAGACAAUCUGAUGGCAUGCAAUGCAACCACUUUUGCACUUGUUGCUGUAGAAUUUAGCCUUAAAAGGAAAAUGAUAAUUGCAAUUGCUUUCUGCUGAGACAUUGCUCUAUGUUAUGCAGUAUCAUCCAAGGUUCCAGCCAGAGAACUUGGCUCACAACACGAAGUUAUUUGACCGAGUGAAUGAAAUUGCGCAAAGAAAGGGAUGCACCCCAUCUCAGUUAGCCCUGGCCUGGGUACACCACCAUGGUGACGACAUUUGCCCGAUUCCCGGCACAACCAAGAUCGAGAAUUUCAACCAGAACAUUGGAGCUCUGUCAGUGAAGCUUACACAGGAAGAGAUGGCCGAGCUUGAAUUGAUUGCUUCUGCGGACAAUGUCAAGGGUGGCAGGUAUGAUGGAAGCAUAUCUACAUGGGAAAACUCCGACACUCCACCCCUUUCUUCUUGGAAACCUGCCUAGAAGCGUGUCUGCUUCUGUUGCUGCAUCUUUGAUGUGCAGAGUUUGAGCAUUUGCCGCUGAAGUAAUUUGAGUUGAUGUUGUGUGGCUGUUAUAAGUAUGUGUAAUAAGAGAGUGACUGUUUUCAUUUUGUACAUGUGACAUUCACUAUGAGAAGAUUAUGGAUGUGUACUAACCUUACUGGGGAAAGAUCACUCGAUAAACACGAGAGCGAGUUGAAUAUGAACUGAGCCUGCCUUGUCGACUUUAUGGGGUGACUUUUAGAAUCAAUUGGGAUUUUGAAGAAUUCAAACUCAGUCGUACAUACCGCUGGAAAUAUGGCUUCGAAAUUGGGUAGAACAAUGAAAUCGGAUCGAGUAAAAUAACUCGGACUUUGAGGCGCGAUAUCACUUUCUUUAAGGAUUUAUUUACCCCACAACGUUGCUAAUGGUCACCAGCAAAAAUCCUCCAGGAUACAACAAAGUCUCGGAUGAGAAUACUAGAUAGCAAUUCAAGUAUUUCUCCAGGGUCUCUCUAAGAAACAAUCGAAAAAUUGGAUGCUGUUUUUCAGAAAGGAAUACUCGAAAAUGACACUCUUUUUCUUUCCGAAAAUGAUAGAUAUAUAUAUGAAACAGUCUUGCNNNNNNNNNNNNNNNNNNNNNNNNNNNNNNNNNNNNNNNNNNNNNNNNNNNNNNNNNNNNNNNNNNNNNNNNNNNNNNNNNNNNNNNNNNNNNNNNNNNNUUUUUUUUUUUUAUUUCUUAUUUUUGUUCCAAAGUUGCUCUCACAAUAAAAAAAAAAAAGACCAGAAUAAAAGUAUAAACAAAUGAGUUUCUGUUCUUUUUUGGUUCUCUAGAACAAAAUAAUAAAAAUUUAUAUUUCGGGAAAAAAAAUAAUUUUAAAUGAACACACCCUAAGAUAUCUUUUGUAUUCCGGGGAAGUAGUUCAAUUGACGUGAGCCCGUGCGUCUUCCCUACAUGGGAAGGGUCGUCGCUGGGUCUCAUCUGACCUAAGCAAGCGCGUCUUCACAGCUAUUACCGCUCCCCUCCUACACUUCGUAGCUACCGCCACUCCCCUCCUAUAAAUCUCGGCUCGCCCGACGCCUUCGCCAUCGUCUCGGUGCAGUGCAGGGAACGAGCGAGCUCGAGCUAGACGACGGCAAUGGCGGCUUCGACGACGACGGUGAGGAGGAUCAAGCUGGGGUCGCAGGGCCUCGAGGUGUCGGCGCAGGGGCUGGGCUGCAUGAGCAUGUCCGCCUUCUACGGCCCUCCCAAGUCCGAGCCCGACAUGAUCGCCCUCAUCCACCACGCCGUCGGCUCCGGCGUCACCUUCCUCGACACCUCCGACGUCUACGGUCCUCACACCAACGAAAUCCUCCUCGGAAAGGUCGUUCUCUCAGUCUCUGUUUUGCGUCCGCAUGAAUUAUAUGUGCUUAUAGUGUUACGGAAUUUGGCUUCAUCGAGCAGAGUGCUCUGAUCCCGCGCCUUGGUUUUCUGAUUUCGGGGUUGAUUUUGAGCAGGCACUGAAGGGAGGGGUGAGGCAGAAGGUGGAAUUGGCGACCAAGUUCGGAAUCAGCUUCGCGGACGGGAAGAGGGAGGUCCGGGGCGAUCCGGCGUACGUGAGGGCGGCUUGCGAGGCCAGCUUGAAGCGGCUUGACAUCGAUUGCAUCGACCUCUACUACCAACAUCGCAUCGACACUCGCGUCCCCAUCGAAGUCACUGUAUGGAUCCCCCAUCAAACUUUCACCUCGCUUGAGACUUUCUCCGAGCCAUAUGAUUAGUUGCUAAGUUAGAUUGGUGUUGAUGAUGCAUCGUCAUGUUGUUACAAGUUUGUUGAAAUUUGUUAAAUGACACUUAAGUUCGGCUGAUAGCAGAGUUCAAGAUGCGGCACGUUGUUGUUCAAGGGGUUGUGGAAUUUAGUAGUUUAGUGGCUUGAGUUUUCGUUUUGUGGGCAUCUUUUACAAGUUAAGGGUCAACAAGCAUGAAAAUUAUUCAAAAUCUUCCUUUGAGAUGAAAGUGCUCCAGGGUUCAUCCAGAAUUUAUAUACGGGAAUCACAUAUAAAGUUGUUCCUGGACUUUAUGUGGAGACAUUUGAUUCUUAACAUAUUGUGAAAUAUGUCGAGUACUUGGAAUACUUAUUUUAUUUGCUCUCUUCUGUGAGAGAUUCAAGAAAUCUACCUCCGUUAACUCAAUACCUUGUGACUUUUUUGUCGCAUUGAGAUGCAUGAUAAUAGAGGGAUCUAGACGCAUAAAAAGCUAAUGACAUGCAUAAUUUUCUGGAUCUUAACAUGUAAGAUCUUGAUGUUGUUGUUCUGUCAUGUGAAUAUGCACAGAUCGGAGAGCUAAAGAAGCUCGUUGAAGAAGGUAAGAUAAAGUACAUCGGUUUAUCCGAGGCCUCUGCAUCAACAAUCAGAAGAGCACAUGCUGUUCAUCCCAUCACAGCAGUGCAAUUGGAGUGGUCGCUUUGGUCAAGAGAUGUGGAGGCAGAGAUCGUUCCAACGUGCAGGUAGGAUAUCACUCUGUUAAUUGUUUAUGCAGCAACAACAGCUUCCUUCUGACUCUGCUUUUCCUUUAAAAUGCUGACUAGGGAGCUUGGCAUUGGAAUUGUUGCCUACAGUCCUUUAGGACGAGGAUUCUUUUCUGUUGGCUCCAAGUUGGUGGAGAAUAUCUCUAAGGAUGACUUCAGACAGGUCUGUUCCUGCUUGUCAACAUAAUUAGAUGCUUACAUCAACUGUCAUUCUUAUUGAAGUGCUGGAAACCUGUUCUUGUGGUAUAAAGAAAAAGUAUCUGGAUGGGAUGAAUAAAACUUGGUGACACGAAUGCUUUGUGUUCUUAUAUGUCUUUAAUCCAGCACUUGCCAGACAUCCCACCUCUCUUGAUUCUAGAUAAAUGUAAAAUCACAAGUAAUGGCUUUAAUGAGCCUGAAAGAGGCAGUUUUCUGGAUUCUCGUGCUUUUGGGAAUGAAUACAUAUAGGUUUAUUUGUAAGUUGCUCUGUUUCCCAGCCUUCCCACCAUUUGCUAAUCACUAUCCUCUCCCCACUUUCCACCCACCCUUUUUCUCUCAUCUUUCUUCACAAGAUUAGCGAUAUUUCCUCAAAAUAGCUGACGCCAGUAGCGGGCUUUGGCCCUCCGUCCUUUUUCAUUCUCAUCUUUCUUCACAAGAUAAACUAUAUCUUGACACAACCAUUUCUUGAGUAAGGACUCCUAGCACCCUUCUUAUGAGAGUUUUGGAUCAAGUUCCCAUCUGACAUAAAGCCAAUUGAGUAUUACUCCCCGCCAUUAGCAUUUGACUAGCGAUAGUGCUGGGCAAGUGAAGUAGCUAUUUUUCUUUGUAGCUAAAAGAGCUCUGCGUCUGAUAACAUUCUUCUACACAUCAUCUACAUUUCUGAUAUUUAUUUUAUGUGUGACUAAUGGUAUCAUCACACAUACAAAACUUAGAUUGUCGAGUUUGUUUCUGUUUUCACAUCCUACAUCAAACCCAUCAGCCUUGUGUGGUAGUUUCUAGAUCACUUCGCUUGACGUUUCUAAUGCUUAUGAUUUGGGACAAGAUAUUUUAAUCAUGUCAAGAUAAUUUAUAACUGAUCAUGCUUUUCCAGAUACACAACGAUUGCGCACUUCUAAUGCUUAUUAUGUCAAGUAACAAGACAAUCCGAUGGCAUGCAAUGCAACCACUUUUGCACUCGUUGCUGUAGAAUCUAGCCUUAAAAGGAAAAUGAUAAUUGCUCAUAUGCUCUCUGCUGAGACAUUGCUCUAUGUUAUGCAGUAUCUACCAAGGUUCCGGCCAGAGAACUUGGCUCACAACACGAAGUUAUUUGACCGAGUGAAUGAAAUUGCGCAAAGAAAGGGAUGCACCACAUCGCAGUUAGCCCUGGCCUGGGUAUACCACCAGCGUGAUGAUGUUUGCCCAAUUCCCGGCACGACCAAGAUCGAGAAUUUCAACCAGAACACUGGAGCUAUGUCAGUGAAGCUUACACCGGAAGAGAUGGCCGAGCUUGAAUCGAUUGCUUCUGCGGACAAUGUCAAGGGUGGCAGGUACGAUGGAAGCAUGUCUACAUGGGAAAACUCCGACACUCCACCCCUUUCUUCUUGGAAACCUGCCUAGAAGCGUGUCUGCUUCUGUUGCUGCAUCUUUGAUGUGCAGAGUUUGAGCAUUUGCCGCUGAAGUAAUUUGAGUUUAUGUUAUGUGGCUGUUAUAAGUACGUGUAAUAAGAGAGUGACUGUUUUCAUUUUGUACAUGUGAUAUUCACUAUGAGAAGAUUAUGGAUGUGUACUAACCUUACUGGGGAAAGAGCACUCGAUAAACACGAGAGCGAGUUGAAUACGAACUGAGCCCGCCGUGCCGACUUUAUUGGGGUGACUUUUAGAAACUGAGAAAUCGGGAUUUUGAAGAAUUCAAACUCAGUCGUACAUACUAGAGUGACGCUUUAUUCUCCUCCAACCAUGAGUUCAAUACUAAAACCGUGUGCAACAUGCUCUUAAGACUGGAUGCCACACAUAGAUACAAAGCUUCGCUUUGUGUUUGGUUUGGUAGCGAAGUUAAGGAACAGUAAAAUGUUACCGGAUGUUCUCGCGAAAACGAAGUUGGGGUUAAAAUGCUGGCGGGGUUGAUAUGAGUGUCAGAGAAAUCGAAGGUUUCUUGUUCAAGUUUUACCACGUACGGUUCAUGAGCUUUUAUGUAGCUCGAUACCUUCGCUUAUGCGUCUGCAUUAUUAUAAAACGGUCGGAGAUAUUGUGCAAGUUUCCUAAAAUUAAAAAUGACACUUCUAUUGUUUUUUAUUUGGAGUUAGAGUGAAGCAAUAUUGUUUUGUUUUGGUUUAAGAAAAUAACGCAAAUAGUUAUUGAACUUUGGUCCAAUGUGUUAUGUUCUUACUGAACUUUUAACUUAUUUAAUAUGGUUGUCGAACUUUUUGUACAUGUUUAAUUUAAAUCCUAGGCUAGAUAAAUCCAAUGAUGCUGUGUUUGGUCGUUCAAACAUUGUUGCUGAUGCAGCCCGCAUUGAAGACCAGCUCUCUUGAUCAAGAAGAUCGGCCCACAUGCAAGCUCGAUGAAUCCUCUUAUCAAUGAAGUUGUCGAUUGUCGAUGAAGUUCGAUGAAGUUGUCGAUUCAACCGAGAAGCCAUAUUGAUAUCUUGAGUCCAUCCUGGAAGCUUGAAAGAAAACACCUUGUCGAUCUGUAUCGACAAAGAUAUGAUUGUUCUCCUAAGCUUGCAUAGUAAAUUUCUGUUCGUCUUAUUUCCUGUGUGCGAGUCACUCUCCCGAUCCUACCGUUUGAGAAAGCUUAACCUUGGCUUGCAUCAUUUUGGUAUUAGAGCUUUGGAGGAGAGGACAAUGCCUCCAAGACAAGCUAGAUGUCGUGGUGGCAGAACCAUUCCCCUCGAUGAAGUGCACACACUCGCUGAGAAUUUGCAACAAUGUAUGCAACAACAAAUUGACGAAUUGACGCUAGAAGUUUAGCGUUUGAGGGCUGAAGCAAAUAAUUCUCCACCUCGUUCCAGGACUGAAGAUUCCUAUGGUGACUCUUCCUCUUUGGAGAGUGUUCAAUCUAUUCACGGUUAGAGGAAUGUUUGACAUCAUUUACAACAUGUUCGUGAGCCAGAUUGGGAAAAGGAAGUCAUGUUCCAGAAUUUACAUGUACUAAGUCUCCUGAUGAAAUUGUUGAUUGGCUGACACUUGUGAAUGAGGUAUUUGAGCAUCGAAAUGUUCCGGAGAAUCGUCAAGUUGGGAUCAUUGCUAUGUGAUUCCAAGGCAAGGCAAUUGCUGGUGGAGACAUGAAAAACAAACUUGCCAAGCAGUUGGCAAAGCACUAAUCACUUUGUGGAGAAAGAUGGAGGGCAAGAUUCAAAAAUAUUUUCUUCCCAUAGGAUAUAAGAGAGAGCUCUACCAACGGUACCAAAAUCUAAAACAAGGUAAACAAACGGUGGAUCAAUACACCAAUGAAUUCAAUGUGUUGGUGAUUUGUAACAAUAUCUAGGACUCGGAGGAGGUGCUUGUGAACAAAUACUUGAACGGUCUUCAAUUUUACAUUCAAGAUGCCUUGGAAGUCCUCGACAUUUGGGACUUAGGACAUGCACACCAACGGGCACUCAAAAUGGAGCGCUCUCGUUCUUGGAGAUAGCAAUCAAUUACCAUGACAAGUCGGGCCACUAAGAGUACCACUAGCAUUGCUAAAGUUGUUGAGGGUACAAUGCAAUAUGCUAGUAAGCCUUCUACGCAACCCCAUGUUUCGAAGCAACCUGCUAUGUUCAAAAUAUGUUGCUAUUCUUGUGGGGAGUUGGGUCAUCAUGCUAGCAAUUGUCGAAUCAAUAAGAGUCAACCUAUCGGUAAAGCCUUCUUAGUGGAUAAUGAUUCUGAUGAGAAUAUUGAGGAUCCACUUGAAGAGGAGUUGAACAAUGAUGAAGAAGCUGUGCAUGAUGAACAAAUAGUGCAUGUUGACACUAGCGAACUUCUUACGGUGAGGAAAUUUUUUUUACUCCUUGAGAUGACACUGGAGAUAGAUGGCUGCGUACCAAUAUUUUUCAUUCUGCUUGCACAAUCAUGGGAAAGGUGUGUCAAUUAAUUAUUGACUAUGGUUGUUGUGAGUAUAUAAUUUUUGAAGUAGUGGCUAACAAGCUGGAGUUGGAAUUAAAGACGCACCCUACGCCUUAUAAAAUGUUGUGGUUGAAGAAAGGCGCUGAGGUAACUAUUUCAAAAUGAUGCCUUGUUAAUCUGUCCAUUGGUUUUGUUUAUAAUGACAAGAUAUGGUGUGAUGUUCUGCCGAUAGAUGCUAGUCACAGUAUUCUUGGUCGACUGUGGCAAUUCGAUAGGAGGACUAUGCAUGAUGGUUAUCGAAAUACAUAUUCUUUUGAAUUUGGAGGCAAGAAGAUUAUGUUGGCACCUAGUAGGGAACCUUGAGAAUUCCUUCUCCCCUACGUUGUUUACAAUGAAGGAUAUGAACGAUGCUUUGAAAGGAGUUUGUAUCUUGUAUAUUUUGCUUAAUAAAACUAGUGAGAAGAAUGAAGUUGCCUCUAUCAUGCCUCAUUGAGUUCAACCUCUUUUGGAAGAGUUCAAGGAUGUCCUCUCGAUGGACUUACCCGAUGGUCUCCCUCCUAUUAGAGAUAUUCAGCAUCAAACCGACUUGAUGCCUGGAGCCUCUUUGUCGACUCUCGCUCAUUACCGAAUGAGUUUGACCGAACAUGAGGAAUUGCAUCAACAAGUUAUGGAGCUAUUGAAUAAGGGUUUUAUAAGGGAGAGCCUCAGUUCGUGUGCUGUUCCAGCUCUUUUAGUGCCUAAGAAAAAUGGUACUUGGAGGAUGUGUGUCGACAAUAGAGCGAUCAACAAGAUCACCAUCAAGUAUUGAUUUUCUAUUCCUCGCCUUGAUGAUCUCUUAGAUCAACUUUCUGGUGCAAUUAUAUUCUCGAAGCUAGAUUUGAAGAGUGGAUACCAUCGAAUUAGAAUCAAACUCGAAGAUGAAUGGAAGACAGCAUUCAAAAAUAAAGUUGGGCUACAUGAGUGGCUAGUCAUGCCAUUUGGAUUGUCGAAUGCACCAUUGACAUUCAUGAGGUUCAUGACUCAGGUGUUGAAGCCUUUUCUGGGAAAGUUUAUUGUGGUUUAUUUUGAUGAUAUCUUGAUUUUUAGCAAGUCUACUGAUGAGCACUUGUAGCAUCUUCAAGAAGUAUUAUGUGUGUUGAGGCAGGAAUGAUUGUAUGAGGCUCUCAACAAGUGCUAUUUUAUGGUACCACAAAUCCUUUUCUUGGGGUUAUAUAUUUCAAAGAAUGGCAUUUCGGUGGAUGAUUCUAAGAUCAAGGUGAUUCGAGAAUGGCCAACUCCAACAAAUGUGCAUGAAGUGCAACGUUUUCUUGGUCUCGCUUCAUUUUAUCGACAGUUUAUUGCGCAUUUUAGCACCACUGCAGCCCCACUCACUUCUUGCAUGAAGAAGGGAGAGAAAGCCCAACCUUGGCUUGCAUCAGUUGCUCUAUGGGAUGAUGAUAGGAUAAAAAUCCCAUCUAUUAUUUCUUGACGUCUGGAUACAGCAUGAUUCAAAUAAAUAUUUUUUAAAUGAGUGUUUGAUUUGUAUAAUUAAAAUUAAAAUUAAACCAUGGAAGUCGUAAAUACUAUUCAUCCUUUCACAAUCUUCAUCCAUAUCAAACACCCCCGUUCCAUGUGACUUCAAGGACUCUCGCUCCUUCUGCAACACCCCUUUCGCUGCCCUUGAUCAACUUGAUGGAUUACGCUCGCUCUACCUUUGACUUCGCCACAUUGAGAGGCCCUUGGGUUUGAGUUCUCCGCUAGUCUAGCCAUCUUUACUUUCAACGCUUUUCCUGCGAUGAAUCCAUCCCCUUCGACGAGUGCGAAUACUGCGUCGAUUCCCUGUUACCGUGCCCCGACUUGUUCAGUCACUUCAACAGCUUCCCCCGAGACAGCGUGCGGAUCCGGUUUGUGAGUGGUAGCACGAUCGGUACUAGUUGCUCCGAGUGACGUGGUUGAGGAGCUCUAUCACCUUGGCUGCCGCCUCUUUCGGAUCAUCUUCUUCACAGAGGAGGUGUCCAGCUUUGAUCGGGAUCACAAAUUUCCCUACUAAAAUGAAGUUGAGUGACACAAGAAAGAGGUAGGGCUGACGAGCUCCGCGAUACUCAUGCUCAUGCUCUAAUUUUGUGGUGGUCAUUUUAGCGAGACAAAUUGGAACAAGAGAGAGAUGAUGGUGACACUGGUCAAAAGCGCCCCGGGGGGUGGUCAGUUUUUCAAAUUUCACAUAUUUUAUCUGGCUUUAUAUACUUUCUAGAUGUGAUUUUUUAUCCGGACUAUAUCCUAAUUUCACAUUACUCUAGACACCAUAUAGGAUUAAACUUAUCAUAUUAGAGUUCUAUCCAGCCCUUCAAAUGCAGUCUUAUGAGAUAGAAUGCAAUGAUAUAAUCUGUGAACUAAAUUUAAACAUUUAUUAAAAGUUUACGAACGAAAUUUCACAUUUUGAUUGUUAAGAUGCAUGAGUGAGUUAUGUUAAAAUAAUCACAUAAUAUAUUGAUAGCUUUAAAAAUGGGCCUUCUCUUGGUGAUGACGUUGAUCCAUAUGGAGAAAUUAAUGAGAGGGUUUAUUUGGCCUAACUAAAUGGGAGGCUAUGGGCUCGUUUGAUAACGUUUCUGUUCAAAAAUUGUUCCAGGGAAUAGAAAUAAAAAAAAAAGUGUUUCUGUUCCGGGGAACAAUUUUUGACCAAAAACACUCGUUUGGUAAACUUGUUCUGGGAACAAUUCUUUUUUUGUUUCUUUUAAUUUUUUAAUAUUUUUAUUUUAUUUUUAUUUUUUUCCUUUCUUUUUUCUUUUUUCUUUUUUUCUUCUUUUGGCGGGCGACCGGCUGACGGGGGCCGACAGCCUCGCCCAGCCACGGCGAGGCCAAGCCUUGCCGGUGCGGGCGAGGCUGAGCCUCGCCUUGGCUGGGUGAGCUUGGCCUCGCCCAGAUCUAGUGAGGCCGAGCCUUGUUGGCCACUGGGCAAGCUCGGCCUCAUCAGCCACUGGGCGAGCUCGCCCAGCCAAGGCGAGGCCGAGCCUCGCCCAACUACAGCCAGGCUCGGCCUCGCUGGGGGCCGGCGACGCUCCGGCGAGGUCGUCGGCCCUCGACGGCGUCGCUGACCCUCGACGGCCGGUCGCCGGCCAUGGCCGAGGCCAGCAAUCGGCCAAAGAAAAAAGAAAGAAAAAAGAAGAAGAAAAGAAAAAGAAAAAAGAGAAAAGUGUUAAAAAAAUUUGUUUCAGAAACAAGAAACAACUUUUUUUUUGUUUUUUGUUUCUGUUCCAGAUGUGUUUUUGGGAACAAAAAAAAUAGUUUUGGAACAAAAACGCACACAAACGCGUUUCUGUUCCCUUUUUGUUCUCAGGAAAAAAAAACAGAAAAAUUGUUCAAAAACAUAAAAAAGAAACAACAACAAAUGCAGCCUAUAUCAAUGGGAGGUUUUUCAUUGUAACAUUCCCUUGUGCUUGGAAUUUGUUUUUUAGUAAAGGAUUUUAUUAGCAUAAUAAUAGUCUUUGGAUUAUUAUGUGAAUAACAAUUUAUUGUGAGUCACAAUUUUUUUUUUAAAGUAAUGAACCCCAUAAUAAUUUCAAUUAUUUGUUACUUUAUUUUCGUAGUUGUUAGAAAAAUAGAAAGCUUGGAAUUUUGGGAGAAUUGUAUAUUGCUUUUCUAUAUUCCUUUCAAUAUGUAAUUACAAUCUAUUUAUAAUACAGAGAGUCUAAAAUAAUAAAGGAAUAAAAAUAUACACAAUAUCCCAAAGAUGUACAUAAAAUAUUCCCUAUCAAUUAAGAUCAAUCGACAUCAGCAACGGUAUCUUCAACACUCCCCCUCAAGCUCGGCGGUUUAUACACAUCGAAGACGCCUAGCUUGUUUAAUAGAUACAAAUGUUGCCUCUGACAUAAAGCCUUGGUAAAAAUGUCUGCAGGUUGCUCUGUUGUUCUUAUCUCUUUUGUUCUAAUCACCCCACUUUGGAUCUUGUCUCGAAUGAAGUGACAAUCAACCUCUAUAUGUUUUGUCCUUUCAUGAAAUACUGGGUUCAUUGCAAGCUUAAUUGCAGCAUCAUUAUCACAAAAUAGGACAAUGGGCUCUCUUAUCUGUACACCAAGGUCUUGAAGGAGGCCUCUUAUCUAGACUAUCUCACAGCUAGUCUUCGCCAUUGCUCGGUAUUCUGCCUCAGCGGAUGAUAAAGAUACGGUUGACUGUUUCUUUGUCUUCCAUGAAAUUAGAGAAUCCCCUAAUUUUAUACAGAAUCCUAUGACUGAUCUUCUACUCAUGGGACAAGUAGCGUAAUUUGUGUCACAAUAUGCUGUCAUCUCCAAAUUGUUGUCUCGAGACAACAAUAUUCCCAAUCCAGGACACCCUUUUAAGUAUUUUAUGACUUUCAGUGCCGCAUUCAUGUGAGACUGUUUCGGAGCAUGCAUAAACUGGCUAAGAAUCUGAACUGCAUAAGAAAUGUCUGGCCUGGUCAUGGUCAAAUAAAUAAGCUUUCCAACAAGUCUUUGAUAAGCAGAAGGAUCUUUAAGCAAAGGAUCCUUGUUUACAGGUGACAACCCUUUGUCAUAUUCAGCUGUCGUUAAUCUGAUAUUCUGAUCAAUUGGAAUAACAGCCGGUCUAGAUCCUAACAAACCGGCUUCUGACACAAUUUCUAAGACAAAUUUCCGUUGGCUAAGACAAAUGCCCUUAUUUGACCGUGCAAUUUCUAUCCCAAGAAAGUAUUUGGGAGAACCCAAAUCCUUAAUAUGAAAUGUAGAAUGCAAAUACUCAUUGAAUUUCUCAAUGGCAGGCGCAUCGUUUCCCAUAAUGAGUAUAUCGUCAACAUAUAUAAGUAAAUAGAUUGACGACAUACCUUGUUUCCAUGUGAAUAAAGCAUAGUCAUGCUUAGAUUGCUGGAAUUUUGCAGUUGUAAGUGCACCGGUGAACUUGGCGUACCAUUGACGAGAAGCUUGCUUGAGUCCAUAUAGGGAUUUCUGAAGACGGCACACACUCCCCUCCCCCUGUCUGCGAAAUCCCGGUGGAAUAUCCAUAUAAAUCUCUUCUUCAAGAUCUCCAUGUAAAAAAGCAUUGUGAACGUCCAUUUGAUGAAGGGGCCAGUCACGGAUGGCAGCAAUGGAAAGAAAAGACCGUAUGGUGACUUCUUUGGCAACUGGAGAGAAAGUUUCCGUAUAGUCAAAGCCUUCCUUCUAUGUGAAUCCCUUCGCAACCAAUCUGGCCUUGUAAUGUUCAAUGGAUCCAUCUGCUUUAUAUUUGAUAUUGUAUACCCAUUUGCAUCCUAUGGAUCGACGAUGGGGAGGUAGACGAACAAUAUCCCAAGUCUCAUUUUCGAUGAGAGCUUGUAACUCAUCUUUCAUAGCCUGUUGCCAACGAGGAUCCUUGGCAGCCUCAUCAUAAGAGGAAGGUUCCUGCUGUGCAAAAAUUCUACUAACAUAGCAUAUAUGUUCAAGAGAGAGAUUAGCAAAACUGACAUAAGAGGAGAUGGGGUAUUGUGUACCACGCCUUUUUGACGAUGAACAAACGUAAUCCGCUGUCCAUGUUGGUGGUCGGACUGUGCGUCUUGAUCGCCGAAGAUUAGUUGGUUCAGAUGGAACAUCAGUUUGUGAGGCUGCAGAGACAUCAUCCGCCGGAAUAUUUGCUUGCAAAAAAUCAGGUCCUUCAAGUAUACUUGAUGAAGGAAGACUGGAAAUUGCAUUGUCCCCAUCUGAGCUGAUAGGUGCAUUGAUACUUGAGGAUGCUAUAGGAGAUAUCAUUUGUGGAAGCAUCAUCAUUGAUCCUUGUGGAGGAUCGUCUUCAUGCAGAAAGGGACGAGAAGAUGUCAGGGGAUCAUCAUGCUGAUAUGAUGGUAGCCUAUCCUUGAAAGGGAAGACAUCUUCAUGAAAUGUGACAUCUCUGCUGACAAAGAAUCUGCCAGUAGAUGGAUCAAGAACCAAGUAUCCUUUUUGAAGGGUAGAAUAUCCCAUAAAUACCGCAAGAAAGGCACGNNNNNNNNNNNNNNNNNNNNNNNNNNNNNNNNNNNNNNNNNNNNNNNNNNNNNNNNNNNNNNNNNNNNNNNNNNNNNNNNNNNNNNNNNNNNNNNNNNNNGGACGUUUUCCAAACAAUGACUCGAAUGGAGUCUUUCCACUCAAAAUUCGAGAUGGCAUUCUAUUGAUCAGGCAUGCUGCUGUGACCACACAGUCUCCCCAAAAAAUUUUAGGAAUUGAAGCUUGAUACUUAAGAGCUCGAGCGACUUCUAACAAAUGACGGUGUUUCCUUUCUACAAUCCCAUUUUGUUGGGGAGUAUAAACACAAGAGCUUUCAUGAAGAAUGCCAUUGGAAAUGAACAAUGAAGAACAUUCAUGAUUAAAGAAUUCUCGUGCAUUGUCAGUACGAACCCGUUGUACGGAUUUGUUAAAUUGAUUUUUGAUCAGGACAAUGAAAUUUUUGAGAUGUGAAAGAACUUGGGCUUUGGAUUGCAUAAGAAAAACCCAAGUUGCUUGAGUAUGAUCAUCUACAAUAGUAAGAAAGAAGCGUGACCCAUCACGAUGAGAGGUGUGAUAUGGGCCCCAAAUGUCUAUGUGCAAUAGAGAGAAGGCUCUAGUAGCACGCGAUGCACUUUGUGGAAAAGACAUUAUAGACUGUUUAGCUAAUGGGCAUAUAGGACACUUAGGAUGAGGAAAAAUGGCGCUGUGGCCUAGACGCUGAUGAGAUAAAAAAGGUAUCUUUAUUAUGAUUGGCAUUACAUAAGAUGCUCUUAUUGAAUGAAAAAUUCUUUGGAAAUGCCGUCCAGAAAUAAAGUCCCUCGAAAUUCCUACCUGAGCCCAUCAGUGUCCUAGUCAAAGGGGCCUGGAAGAGACAAGUGUCAAAAUCGAAAAUGACCUGACAGAAAUUGUCUUGACAAAUCUUGGAUACAUAAAUGAGAUUGAACUGAAAAUUCAGAAUGAAGAGGACAUUUUUUGGUGUGAUGGAAGAGCUCAGUUUAACAUCCCCAAUUUUAUCUACUGAAAUAUCACUACCAUUUGGGAGGCGAACGGAAGUGUGAUUUGAGGAUUUUUCUAAUUUAGAGAAGAACCGUUCAUCACAGACUAUAUGGUCACUAGCACCUGAAUCAAUAAUCCAUGCGUUGCUCGAAAUAUUGCAGUUCAAACAAUGAGAAAUACCUGCAUAGCUAGGCAUCUUUUCUUGAAUGCCCAUCUGACUUAAGGUCCUCAUGAUUUGUUGGAGUUGGUCAUUGCUGAUGGGUUGAUUUACCUUAGCAUUUGUUGCUAUAGAAUUUCCAAUAGAAAAUUCUCAUUCCUUCUUCUCCCCUGGUCUUCCAUGCAAUUUCCAACAAUUUUCUUUGGUAUGAUAAGGUUUUUUGCAAUAAUCACAAAAUUUACCUUUCCAUUUGUUUGAAUUAUUUCUGGUCGAAGACGUGGCAAAAUUUGGGCCGUUGGAUCGCUUUAAAACGGACGCUGAUGGUCCGUUCGAUCGCGGUGCUGCAAGGGCGAAAUUUGAGCCGUCCGAUCGCGCAAAAGAACCUCCACUGUCCGAUCGCGCAAAAGAACCUCCACCGUCGGAUCCGAAGAUUGGAUCUCGGCCAUUCAAUCCGCGCGAGCUGCCCGAGCCGUCCGAUCUCCCGAAAUGAUCCUGGCCGCCCAUUUGAGACAUAUAAAAAACCUCAUCUUCUUCCUUCCGAAACCCUAGUGUUCCUGCCCUUUUCGAAAAACCUCCAUGGUCGGACCUUGAAGACCCGAGCCGCUGCUCCGACGAAGCCUUGGCCGCGAGAACGACGCGCUCGCCACUCUUCACAUACUCGGACGACGCCAGCUUCUGGGAUUCUUCUUGAACCGCAAGCUGGUAUAGGACNNNNNNNNNNNNNNNNNNNNNNNNNNNNNNNNNNNNNNNNNNNNNNNNNNNNNNNNNNNNNNNNNNNNNNNNNNNNNNNNNNNNNNNNNNNNNNNNNNNNNNNNNNNNNNNNNNNNNNNNNNNNNNNNNNNNNNNNNNNNNNNNNNNNNNNNNNNNNNNNNNNNNNNNNNNNNNNNNNNNNNNNNNNNNNNNNNNNNNNNNNNNNNNNNNNNNNNNNNNNNNNNNNNNNNNNNNNNNNNNNNNNNNNNNNNNNCACUCUGACCCGGGAAGGACCAGUUCGCCCCAUAUCCGGACCCGCUCCAGGUAUGUGAGAUGAGCUUUCCUUUAGCCCACCAAUCCUUCCGGGGUUGAUUUGAGGUGAAUUCUGUGUCGAAUCUCCUUGAUUUGGUUGGAUUGAUACAGGUACCCACUGAACGUAUGGUCUUGUGAGGGGAUUUCCAGGAUUAAAUCCUAUGUUGAGCUGUGCAGGCUGCACGAGGCUUGUUUGACUUUCUGAUGGAUUCAUCUGUCGUUUUGUAGGGAUGACUUGUGGAUUUCCCUCAAUCCCCACAGAAACGCCGGAAGUUGAAUCCUCAGUCUUUGACAUGAUUUCUCCCUAAGAAGGCGUUGCGGAAGCUAGGCCAAGGCGGGAGGCUCUGAUACCAUGUCAGAAAAAUAGAAAGCUUGGAAUUUUGGGAGAAUUGUAUAUUGCUUUUCUAUAUUCCUUUCAAUAUGUAAUUACGAUCUAUUUAUAAUACAGAGAGUCUAAAAUAAUAAAGGAAUAAAAAUAUACACAAUAUCCCAAAAGAUGUACAUAAAAUAUUCCCUAUCAAUUAAGAUCAAUCGACAUCAGCAACGGUAUCUUCAACAGUAGUAACUGUUGUUUUCAAUUAAGUUUGCAUCGGAGAAGAGAUUAUUUUGUUUUGCUACGCUUGUCGGAUAUUGCGCAGGAUAUUGUCAUUUUCUUAGCACUAGCAACGUUGCGUUCAGACAAGGCGGCAUGGAAUUAUUUGCUUAGCUGCACAUCGCACGACCAUACAUUCAUGGACUGUUCCUCAGGAAAGCAUAUAGACAUGUGGCAGAUGCAGAACAUUUCACGAGAUUAAAAAAAAAAGAAAAUAAUUUUUAAAAAACAAUACUUUCGACUUCAAAACGUGCCAAUCGAACGCCUGCUAGUCCCGCCUAUAAAGCUCGGCUCACCCAACGGCUUCGUUGUCGUCUCGAACUGUCCAUUCUCCAUUCUCUGUUCUUGCAUCGACCUCGAGCUAGAGGAUGGCCCGCAAUGGCGUCGUCAGACGGUGAGGAGGAUCAAGUUGGGGUCGUAGGGUCUCAAGGUCUCGGCGCAGGGGCUGGGCUGCAUGGGCAUGUCUACUUCGCCGGCCCUCCCAAGCCCAACCCCGACACGAUCGAGCUUGUCCACCACGCCGUUGAAUCUGGCGUUGCCUUCCUCGACACCUCCGACAUCUAUGGCCUUAACGCCAAGGAAGUCCUCCUUGGAAAGGUCGGUAUUUAUUUUGUAGAUAUAAUUGAAGAUCUUGAUCGUGACGCCAAUCCUAAUUGCGGACUAAUUGANNNNNNNNNNNNNNNNNNNNNNNNNNNNNNNNNNNNNNNNNNNNNNNNNNNNNNNNNNNNNNNNNNNNNNNNNNNNNNNNNNNNNNNNNNNNNNNNNNNNNNNNNNNNNNNNNNNNNNNNNNNNNNNNNNNNNNNNNNNNNNNNNNNNNNNNNNNNNNNNNNNNNNNNNNNNNNNNNNNNNNNNNNNNNNNNNNNNNNNNNNNNNNNNNNNNNNNNNNNNNNNNNNNNNNNNNNNNNNNNNNNNNNNNNNNNNNNNNNNNNNNNNNNNNNNNNNNNNNNNNNNNNNNNNNNNNNNNNNNNNNNNNNNNNNNNNNNNNNNNNNNNNNNNNNNNNNNNNNNNNNNNNNNNNNNNNNNNNNNNNNNNNNNNNNNNNNNNNNNNNNNNNNNNNNNNNNNNNNNNNNNNNNNNNNNNNNNNNNNNNNNNNNNNNNNNNNNNNNNNNNNNNNNNNNNNNNNNNNNNNNNNNNNNNNNNNNNNNNNNNNNNNNNNNNNNNNNNNNNNNNNNNNNNNNNNNNNNNNNNNNNNNNNNNNNNNNNNNNNNNNNNNNNNNNNNNNNNNNNNNNNNNNNNNNNNNNNNNNNNNNNNNNNNNNNNNNNNNNNNNNNNNNNNNNUUAGACAUUGCUUUAUGUUAUGAAGUACCUACCAAGGCUGCGGCCAGAGAACUUGGCUAACGCAAAGUUAUUCGACCAAGUGAAUGAAAUUGCACAAAGAAAGGGAUGCACCCCAUUGCAGUUAACCCUCGCGUGGGUACACCACUGGAGUGAUGACGUUUGCCCGAUGCCCGGCACGAUCAAGAUCGAGAAUUUCAACCAGAACAUUGGAGCUCUGUCAGUGAAGCUUUUGCCAGAAGAGAUGGCCAAGCUCAAAUCAAUUGCUGAUAUGGACAAUGUCAGGCGUGAGAAUUAAAACCACAUUUGAUACUAAAUUAUGCCUAGGUAGAAAUUCAAAACUCCACCUCCCGCUUUUCAUGUGGGAAGUUUGGCCCCACCUCGCGCUUAUGGAAAGAGUAAUCACGAAGACAUCACAAUAGUUCAAUUGACGUGAGCAGGUACGUCUUCCCUACAUGGUAAGGGUCGUCACUGGGCGUGCAAUUGACGUAAGCACGUGCGUCUUCACAGCCACUACCGCUCCCCUCCUACUCAUCGUAGCUUCUGCCACUCCCCUCCUAUAAAUCUCGGCUCGCCCGACGCCUUCGCCAUCGUCUCGGUGCAUUGCAGGGAACGAUCGAGCUCGAGCUAGACUACGGCAAUGGCGGCAUCGACGACGACGACGGUGAGGAGGAUCAAGCUGGGGUCGCAGGGCCUCGAGGUGUCGGCGCAGGGGCUGGGCUGCAUGAGCAUGUCCGCCUUCUACGGCCCUCCCAAGUCCGAGCCCGACAUGAUCGCCCUCAUCCACCAUGCCGUCGGCUCCGGCGUCACCUUCCUCGACACCUCCGACGUCUACGGUCCUCACACCAACGAAAUCCUCCUCGGAAAGGUCGUUCUCUCAGUCUCUCUUUUGCCUCUGCAUGAAUUAUAUAUGCUUAUGGUUUUACGGAAAUUUGCUUCAUCGAGCAGGAUGCUCUGAUCCUGCGCCUUGGUUUUCUGAUUUCGGGGUUGAUUUUGAGCAGGC
Molecule: long non-coding RNA, 70943 nt
Filed under: Eucalyptus grandis
Lineage: Eukaryota; Viridiplantae; Streptophyta; Magnoliopsida; Myrtales; Myrtaceae
Description: long non-coding RNA (EGRA_LNC004548)
Source: RNAcentral